CAUCUGUCUGGUGACUACUUUUUCAUAUCAAUUUUUCUUAGCACUGUACUUUUUUUCAGUGACUAUUUUCUCAUAUCUGAUUUGCGUAGCAUCGUGCAUCGUUCCGGACUACUGUCUUAUAUCUGAGUUGCAUAGCAUCAUGCAUCUUUCUGGUGACUCCUCAGAUUUAAUUUACAUAGUUCCGUACGUCUUUUCGGUGACUCCUCAGAUUUUUUUCAGUAGGGUCGUGCCAUCAUUCUGACCCUGCCCAUAUAAUUUCUCUUUUCCAGUAGGAUCGUGCCGUCAUUCCGACCCUACUCAUAUAAUUUCUAUUUCUCAAUAGGGUCGUGCCAUCAUUCCGACCCUACGCAUAUUUCUUUUUUUCAGUAGGGUCGUGUCAUUAUUCCGACUCUACCAAUAUACUUUUUUUUUCCUCAGAUUGUAGUCACUUUUCAACCAUCAAAUCUAAUAAUCCGGCGUGUGAGCAUGUUUCAGCUAAGUUUCCGGUGACUUCCAUGUUCAAGAUCGACUCGUCUCUUGAUUUCGAGAUGACCCGUAUAUUUUAUAUCAGUUUUCGGCAAUUUUCCAGCGACACAUCGACUUUACGGCAAUAUUUACUAUUCGGAUCAUUUUUUCAGUUUGUUCUGUUUCAAUUGAGGUCUUCCAGACGUCCAAAGCAGUCAUUAUCAGUUUUCUUGCAGAUAUCUUCACCAAGUCCCUCACCGAUUCUCAUAUUAGUUACAUCCAUAACAAGCUUGGUACAUAUGUCUUCUAUGCACCAGUUUGAGGGGGAGUGUUAGAAUAUGAGUAGGAAUAUGAAUAACAUAUAAAAUCCUACUUGGAAAAAGAUUGUAAUGUAGUGUCCUAUUAGGAAAAGGAUUGGAAUCUAUUGUCUAUAAAUUGGGCCUCAAUGUAAUAAUGUAGUUAUAACAAUUCAAUAAUAUUCUUCUCAUAUUUCUCACACUUCACUAGGAAACCAGUUACUGACUUCCUUGAAUGUGCACAGGCUGCCCAAUCAGCAUCAUAGUAUGCUGUGAUUGUAGUUUGUGGUUUGCUGGACAGUAGUACUCCAAGUCUUGGUUGCAUUUUUAGAUACCUCACUAUUCUUUUAGCUGCUUCCAUGUGAGAUCUUUUAGGUUGUUGCCGAUAUUGACUCAGAGUUUGUACAGAAUAAGCUAUGUUUGGUCUUGUAACUAUCAGAUAUAGUAGUUUCCCAAUAAGUUUCUGAUAGGACCCUUGAUCAUCAAGUAGUUCAUCACCUGUAGAGUUGUCUGAGAUGUGAUCAUCAUAACAUCAUACUCUUUGGUGGUAAGUUUUAGAUUGCAAUCCAUAGGGGUAGUAGCUGGUUUAGAGGCUGACAAACCAAGCUCAGAGAUAACUCCAUUGUAUACUUUCUUUGGUGCAUGAGGAUGCCUUGACUUGAUCUAGCAAACUCUAUACCUAAGAAAUAUUUCAGUUCCCCCAAGUCUUUCAUCUUGAAAGAUAGUUGUAGUGCUCUCUUUGCUUCUUCUAUCAGCUCCAUAUUGUCUCCAGUUAUCAACAUGUCAUCAACAUAGAUGAGUAUUAUAAUAGUUCCUUUUCCAGUCUUCCUGAUGAACAAUCAGUGAUCAAACUUGCUUUGAUUGAAAAGUUUUAUCAGUGCUUCUGUUAGCUUGGCAUUCCACUGUCUUGGAGCCUGCUUUAAGACCAUAUAAUGAUUUGAUGAGUCUGCAUAUCUUAUUCUCCCCGACUCACAAAUCCCUGAGGUAGUGUCAUGUAAAUCUCAUCUCAUCUGUAGGGUCACCUUGUAGGAAAGCAUUGUAUACAUUCAGCUGAUGUAUAUGCCAAUGCUUUGAUGCAGCCAUGGAUAGAAUGGACCUUACUGUCACCAUUUUUACCACAGGAGAAAAGGUUUCCUGAUAGUCUAUUCCCCCCUUUUGGCAAUAUCCUUUAGCCACCUGGCUUUUAGUCUUUCAAUCUCACCAUUUGCCUUGUACUUGACUUUAUAAACCCACCUGCAUCUAGUUGGCUUCUUUCCGGGAGGCAAGCUAACUAUAUCCCAUGUCUUGUUCUCUUCUAGAGCCUGAAUUUCACUUUACAUGGCUUCAAUCCACUUAGGAUCCUUCGAUGCUUCAAUGUAGGAUGCAGGUUCUGUAACUGAAGAAAGAUAAGCAAUGUAAGCACCAUAUUUAGCUGAGAUGUUGUCAUAAGAAAUGUAAUUAGAGAUAGGAAAAGGAGUGUCCUGAUGUUGACUCAGAGCUAUGAAAUCUUUGAGCCAAAUUGGUGGUUGACUUCCUCUAGUUGAUCUUCUGGUAGGUUGUGUUAUAUGAACUCUACUGGCCCUUGUUCCACUUUGUUGAGGUUGUGCUGUGGUUGUAUUAGGAGGUGGAGCUAGUGACACUACUGAAGAAGUUGGUGUUGGAGGUGAGUUAGAAGCAUUAGGUACUUGGUUGAUAGGUACACCAGUAAGAUCAUCCUCUAUGUGGUGUAUAGCUGAUAGAGUAUCUUCAAACACUGGACUAUCCACAUGUUUCUUUGUAAAUGGGAAUUCAUUUUCUCUAAUAAGACAUCCCUGGUCACAAAGAAACAAUGGUCAGUAAGAUCAUAUAGUAUAUAUCCUUUCUGUACUUCAGAAUAACCCAUGAGUUAAUUCUUUGGACCUAGACAACAUCUUACCAAGUUCUUAGCAAAGCACAUGCACCCAAACACCCUUAAAUGAUUUAAGUAUGGUUGUUUGUUGUAGAGCUUCUGAUAUGGACUAGUUCCAUUUAGCACACUAGAAGGAAGACUAUUGACUAAAUAUGCAACAGUUUGUACACAAUGACCCCAAAAUUUGAGAGGUACUUGAGCUUGUAACCUUAUCACUCUUGUUACCUCUUAAAGGUGUCUGUUUUCUCUCAGCUACCCCAUUUUGUUGAGGUGUGUAUGGGCAAAACCUCUGAUGUAUAAUGCCCAUUUUGUUAAACAGAUUAGUGCAAGUGUCAUUGAUGAACUCAGUUCCAUUAUCAGACCUGAUGGUCUUGAUAGUUUUGUUGAACUGAGUUUUUACAUAUUGCAAGAAAAUAGGAAGAACAACACAUACAUCAGAUUUCAAUUUUAACGGGUAUAACCAAGUCAUUCUAGUAAAGUCAUCAACUAUUGUCAAAAAAUAUUUGUUUCCAUCAAAAGUCUGCACUUUAUAGGGACCCCAUACAUCCAUAUGAACCAACUCAAAACUAUUAGAAGUACUUAUAGAGCUGGUAAUGAAAGGUAAUAUACAUUGCCUGCCACAAGGACGCACAUUACAUUCUUUAAGGGUAUCUACUAUAUCCUGGUGUGUAGUAGGUAGAAUUUUCUUUAAGGUAGGACUAGACACAUGGCCUAAUCUUUUAUGCCAGUGUCUUAUAUCAGUGUCACUAUUAAAAGAGACAUCCAACUGAGUGCUGAGGUUAGCACUUGCAGCAUCCUUAGAAGUUUGAUUCAACAGUAGAUAGAGUCCUUCACAUUCUCUACCAAUCCCCUUCACCUUGCCAUUGGAAAGAUCCUGAAACACACAAAAGUUAAGAUAAAAUGAAACGACACAAUUUAAAUCUUUAGUGACCUUGGAUACUGACAUCAGAUUAUACUUGAACUGAGGUAAAACAAAGACAUUAUUCAAUGUGUUAUCUGUUGAUAUAGUGCUGGAACCAGUGUGUGUUACUUGUGCUAUUUCACCAUUAGGUAAUUGCACCUGUUUAGGGUGUGAUAUUUGGACUAUAGAUGCCUUGUUAAGCAUAUCCAAACUGGACACUAUGUGAUUGGUGGCUCCUGUAUCAGUGAUCCAAUCCCUAAGUAUCUUAGCCACAAGUAAAGCUUUACUUAGACCCAUACCUGAUUCAACACUACCUGCAAAUGUAGCAGAGGAUCCUGGAGUAGUCAAUACACUGCAAGCAGCUGACUGUCCAGUUCUAUAGCCAUUAGUCAUUACAGUAGUCACACAUCAGAUUUGUAUUUUUCUUGAACUUUUGGUGAUUGACUUUAGAGUACAUUACUGAUGCAUCAUGAGUGUUUGAAUUAGAGGGCAUGGCACCUAAUAAACUAGCAGCCCUAGAACCAACAGACUUUUGAGAUUCAUCACUCAUGAUCAUAUAAGCCUGUGUAACUGAAGGCAAUGGGGUCAUAAGAAGAAUCUGACUCCUAGCCUGCAGAUAGUUGUCAUUUAAUCCCAUUAAAAACUUAUGCAAUUUCUGCCUUUGUAAAUACACAAGAAAAUGCUUGGACUUAGCACAGUUGCAACCAGGUGGAGGAACAAUUGCUUCCAAUUCCACCCAUAGCUCUUUCAAUUUAGUAAAGUAUGCAGCAACAGAUGAUGUCCUUGAACUAAAGUUGCAAUUUCCUUGUGAAGGUUGAAGGUUCUUGAACCAUCAACCUUAUCAAAUCUUGACUUCAGAUCCUCCCACACUUCUUGUGCAGUAUCAGCAUAGAUCAUGCCUCCAAGUAAACUGCUAGACACUGUAUUCAUUAACCAAGAUUGUACCACUGCAUUACACCUUUCCCAUUGAUACCACAGUUCCUCUCCAAAUGAUCCCUUUUUCCAAGUUCCAUCAACAAAUCCCAAUUUGUUUCUUCCCAAGAGUGCAAUUCUCAUAUACUUGCUUCACAAAUUAUAGUUUUCAACCCCAGUCAACUGUAGAGAAAUGAGAGAAAUGCCACUUACAUCAGUGUCGUGCAAAUAAAGAGGAUCACUUGUGUGCCACUUGUUGAACUUGGAUCUCCAUGAACUGCAGCAUUCACAGGGUCAGCACUUCCAUCGGACGCCAUUGUCGUAAUGCAGGAGAAAUCAACAGCUAAAUUCAGUUCUCAGAACUUUAACGAGAUGAAAGAAACAGAGUAGUUCUUGAUGAUUUAAUCACUCAAGCUGAUUGUUGCGGAAUUUUUGGCUAGUAGAUUGCUGUGCUCUGAUACCAUGUAGCAAUCUAGCAUUCAACUCAUACAAUGCCCAACUACUCACUGCAAGAGUAUUCAAGGUACUCUGAUCAUGCAGAGUAAUUUACAGAAUAGAAUGACUAUGUGAUGAGAAACUGAGGAGGAGAAAGAAAAGAUGAACGUAGUUAAGAGAGUAGUUAUUAUUGUAUUGAUCAAGUGAGUACAUACAUGUAUAUAUAGUGUGAUAGUAGUCGGUUAGCAUGAGGGUUAGAGGUAGUUGGUUAGUUAACUGAUGUAACUGUUAUAACUUAGGUCCUAAUUAACCAACUUUGUGAAGAGUGAUCUACAUCAACUAGUGUGAGUUAGUUAUGUGAAUGCUGUGCACUCUCUUUCUUCUUCUCAAUACUUUUCCUUUUAAUACUUACAGAUCUAAGAUAAGUCAUUAUCUUACCAUGUUAUAUGAUACCUCUUUAUUUAUUUUUGACAAGCUUGAUUGCUGGUUCUCCUAUUGGUUGAUAUUGACUAGGAAACAAUUGCUAACCUGAUACCUAGUUUGUCUAGCAUAUGUGGCAAAAAAUUUCUAUAGAAAGACUAUACCUUUCCAAAUUGGAUGUUAAUAUUAUCAUUCUGUGAUUGCUAGCUGGUUCAGAUAUUUUAAAUAGAUACCACAAAACGAAUUUAUUGUCAAAUUUGAGGGAUGAGUUGGAGUUUUGAGUCAGGGGAUUUGCAGGAAUCUUAUCUAAACAGCUUGUGACAUCUGUGCCAAAUAGACACUACUGCUACUAUUAGGGAUGUUUUGCUCUAUAUGUUCAAGUACUACACCACAUAACCUUUCUCCUAGAGGUUUCCAUGCAUUUGUGAAGGAUUUUUCUUCCAACUUCUAGGUUGUGCUCUUACACUCUCCCCUCCCGACCCUCAGUCCUGCAACUGCUAUUAGUUGUAAACCAAUUUAAAAAGGGGAAUCUACUAAAAAAGAAGAGAAAGUAAAACAGAAAGCAUCUUUACAACCUCCUCCUCUUCAUUCUCAUCUUUUCUAUCAGGAACAUAUUUUGCUGCAAUAUUUCUGUCUGGCAUUAUAAUCUGUUAAAAAAGAAAGAACACUGAACAAACUUCUUUUCCAUAAGGGUGAGAAUGUGAAGGUGCUUAAAAGGAAAAGCCUCGGCAAAAGAAUAGAGUUUGGUAUGAAGGAGUCAGAAGUGUGAUAGGCGAGCAAUAUGGUAUAGAAAAAGGGGAUACUGAACAAGUCGCAUAGCCUAGUGAAAGGCCACCAUGAGGCUACAUAAUGAUAUAGAAAAGGAGAUGAUUUGAGUGGUUGUUGAUGGCAGAAGAAUUUCUUUGGGAUAAACAUUGGUGUAUAGUGGAUGUGUUGAAUCAGACUUCAGUAGAUGUAUGCUCUUCUUCUUCUUUUUCUUUUUAAAAUAAAAAUUUAAUGGUGGCAGAAUUUAUUAACAGAGGGAGGAAAUAUGGUUUUGGAAACAUCCUUUAACAUACAUUUUUAGGGCCCAUUUGGACAUGAAUUUUUCCUUAUUUUCAAAACAAGAUUUGGGUACACAUCAGGAUGAUUUUUUGGUUGUUUUUACCUUUUUCCAUUGAAUUGUUUUCCAUUUACAUAACUUCAAUCUUUUCUCAAGUAAAAUGCAUGUCCAAACACAAUUUAACUUUCUAACAUUGCUUUUGAACUUGAACUUCAAAUAUUACUCAAUUCAUGUCUCACUUUUAUUUUUGUUUGGACAAUCAUGGGCGUCAUUCUUGCUGCUGAUAUUUUUGGAAGAGAGAAUGAGAGCCUUGGAGUAACUGGUAAAGUUGUUGCCAUGUGACUAGGAGGUCACGGGUUCAAGCCGUGAAAAAAGCCUCUUGUAGUAAUGCAGGGUAAAUCUACGUACAAUAGAUCCUUGUGGUCCGGUCCUUCCCCGGGACUCCCUGCAUAGCGGGAGCUUUAAUACCCUGGGCUUCCCUGUUGAAGAUGAUCCUUGUGAUCUGGUGCUUUACAUGUUAUGGACUUCAAAGGAGACUCAUCCUUGUCUUUUGCCCUUGAAUAUUGCAAUGAAUUUGUGGUUGGAGAUGCUUAACAUUUUCAGCACAUGUUGGGUCAUGCCAAUAGGGUAAAGCAACUGAUAAGCAUUUGGAAUGUUGGGGGAUUCAAGUGGAGCAGAUUUUAACAGAAUUGAAAGCAUGGAGGCUAAUCCCGCAUGCUACAAAAUGGACUGAACUUGUCUGUUUUUUUUUUUUUUUUAUAAUUGGCCCUUUUAUAGAUAAUUAGGUUCACUUUUUGGAAGGAAAUAUCUUGUGCAGUCCUGCCAUAUGUAGCCUUCCUGUAGGGGAUUAUUUCUUCUUCCAGUGAUGAAAGUUUUGAUGCUAAUCAACUUCAUUUUCCUAAUUAUUUGUGUACCCACUUGCAGUUCGUUAAUUUUACAAAAAUCAUGUCCGAGCAUUCAGAGAUGGGCAAGAAGGAAACAACCUUUGCUCUUGCCGCACUAAUGGAAAUUCCAUUUCAGUACCGAGCCACACAACGCCUUCAAUUCAGAGAGUAAGUAGCAUCUAUCUUUGUGUAUAUUCUUCUUUCAAAAUUGAAAGCAUCUACAUGAAGCCUAACCUUUUCGAAACUUGUUAUUUAGAAGCAAAAGAGGUCCUCGGACUAGGCCAUUUCGUCCUCCUCAAGAAGUAAUUGAUCAUGAUAGUGCUGUCAAAUCAUUGCCACAUCUGACAAGCCAUGAACCUGUUGACUCUGGAGCUGCAGAACAAGUGUGUGUUUAUGUUAUAUAGUUCUUGCUCUUCUUGUACAACUCAUUAUUCUUAAGAGUCUACUUCUUUCGUUCUGUUUUUUUUUUCUAAUAAUGGUUUCCCUUUUUCUUUAGGUUUGUCCCAUUUGCUUGACAAACCCAAAGGACAUGGCUUUUGGAUGUGGUCAUCUGGUAAGUGAUUCUAGAAGUGACACUUAACUACUGUCAGUGUUGAAUUCAGUCUUUAAAAUCUAUCCAAGGCGUAAUAUUUUCAUGUUUAUAUGUGAUGUUUGAUCUCUAUAGUUUCAGCUUGUUGUCUAUUAUAUAAUUUUAGAAUGUCUAAAUGGCUAUUUUUCUAGAACUGCAUUAACGUUAUGCUGCUUAGAUCAAUUCAUUUUCCAUAAAGAAUGAUGCAAUAAGGAUCUCAUCGUUGAAGGUAAGUCAAAAUGGUGGAAGUUAGUGUCCAACGAUAACCUGUUUAGUUUGCAAUUCAUUUUGCUCUUCCCUAUCCAGUCCUUUAUUAGAAUAGUUAGCGUCAUUAAAUAUUGAGGAUAUCAAAAAAUUAUAUUGACGAUAUCAUUUUCUGGAAUUCCGUACUAGCAUAUUAUUCAAAAGGAAAACUAGCUUGACUUUUGGCAUUUUGACAUCUUACAUGGUGAAUACCAUUUACCUUCAUUUCCCACUUAAUCAUACAUAUCGUUCCACAAUAACACACGAUGCUGCUGAAAUGAACUCUUUAUGCACUGUUAGUUCAUCUGACAGUAGAGAUACUUUGUUUGAAAUUAAGAUCUCUAUUUACAUUCACUGCACCAAUGGGGUGGUUUUCAUAACUAAAGUUAUCCUAAUGACCUUAUUCACUCCAAAGCAUUCUUUAGAGGUUUGGACAAUAAAAACACAUCUAACCUGGUGACUUGGGAGAUUUGAUGUGUCCCCUAUUUGGAUGAUCAUAAUUUUUAGCAUCUUUUUGAAGUCACUUGGUAUUGGUAAGGCUACUUCAUCAUGACCGAUCAUAGGUCCCAUGUUUACUGCUUUCAUUUCUGCUAGUACUCAUUCUGCCACUGAUUCUCAUGUUCUGGAUGCAGAUAGCACCUUAUCUAAUUUUAGCUAUUAGCAUUUGAAUUUUAGAUUACCUACAGCUGUUAUUUUAGAUCGGGGAAUGGCUAUUGAAAAUCUUUCCUCGUAUUUUCUGAAUCAGACAUGCAAGGAGUGUGGUGUCACGAUAACCUCAUGCCCUUUAUGCCGAGAGCCCAUUAAAACUCGCAUAAGACUGUAUGGCUAGAUGUCAGAACCAUCUCCUGAACUACCUAAGCUCUACACUUUCUCCAGGAUGUCAACUAAGGAUAUUCAUUUCCGAGGUGUAAACUUCCCUGUUCCUUGAAGAAGAGCCACUCAGGUGGUUGUCAUAUGAUAACUGAUGUGAUAUAUAAAAACUGUAAAUGAGCAGUAACCUAUGUAUAGCUUACAUGGAGUUCUUCACCUGUCCUGUUUUUUGUUUAUGAUGGAGUUCUUGUUGAUACUUCAUACCCGUCAUCGAUUCUAUUACCUCUUUGUUUUGAUGAAACUUAAUUAUCUAGGUUAGUGAAAAUCGCCAACCAUCUUUCGGCAACAAUAAAUCCAUGAGCAGACGAAGUCACUAGCUUAUCACCGUCUCUGACUUUAAUCGGCUUGCCUGCAUAACGUCUUUUUUAGUGCAGUUAUUGGCUGCUAAGUGACUUUCGAAAGACGGGAGAUUUUUUUAUUAUCUAUCGAGGAAGACAGACCAAACUAUUGUUAAAAGAGCUUUGUUGUUGAAUUUGUUUUGUAGUAGACUGUUAGCCAAAAUAUUUGCUAAAAGUGCUCAUAUCUACAAGUGGAGUUAUAAUAGAAAAUUGUAAAAAUUAUUGGUUGCUUUUGGUCUUUCGAGUAAUUGAACAUUGACGAUUUCGUUUGCCUUUUCAUUUUAACAACCAAAUGAAUGAGAUAACUCUUAGGGUAUGUGAAAACUGAAUGAAUCAAGACAAACAGUUCAAAACAAAACAAUCCAGGAAAUGAAAUAACAGAGGCAAAAACAUAACAAAGCAUAAAAACAUAACAAAGCAUUUUGAAUAGUAACCAUAACAAGGUAACAGGAUAUUUGAUGUAAGAAACAACAAAAAUUGAAGGACAAAAAACUACGUGAGCAAUACUAUGAUUACUAGUAUGGACAAAUAGCGAGGCAACACAAUGCCGCCUAAUUACAUUCUACCCUAAUUUGUCUCCUCCACAACCUCUUACCUAAAUGUGGCAACUCGAAUUUUGGUGAUUUAUAUGAAAAGUGUAUUUCUGUGUGAUUUGAUCAUUUUACUCCUUUCCAUGGUUGCUUUGUGGUAUUUCUAGAGUAUGGGAAUGGCACAGAUUUAUGUUAUAUUGUGGUUUCUAUUGAUUUUGAGAGCCUUAUAGUUGACUUCGGUCAACAUUUGUAGAUGUGUGCGUCGGAUGGCAAAACAGACUGUGCUAGCAAAUCUAGAACAUCAAUUUUAAGGUGAUAACAUCUGAUAUCGCCAUUAAGUCCGGAGCGUCGAAUUUGAUAGGGUAGCAUAUUUCGUUUGCGUUCACUGGAUUUCAGAUGAUUCCCGAGGGGUCCGCGGAGACUUGAACCCUAUAUAUACCCGUGUUUCACUAUUUUUUUUUUCAUUUUUUAGAUUUGGAGCUUAGGGUUUCACACUUUUGAGAAAUUUCUUCAAUUUCUAAGUUUAGGUAUGCUUCUAAACACCUAUUUCAACUACUUUAAUCCAAUUUUAUCAUCUAAUUCUUGUUUUUAUGUGAUUAAAGUGGAAAAUUGGGGAUUUUGGCCGGAAAGGCCUGCAACUUAUAUUUCUUCGAUUCACCUUUUUUAAUCCAUUUUCACUUGGGUAAGUUUCUAGUCUUAUAAUUAUCAGUUUUCUCUCAAUUUCAUCUGCAAAACAACUUAAGAUUCUUGAUUUCAAAAAGAAUUUUUGGGAAAUUUGCCAGUAAAGCUUAAACAUGAUUUUUCUUUAAUUCAAACAUUGUUUUAAACUCAUUUUUGCUUGGGUUUUCAGCUGUAGACUCCUAAAAAUACGAAAAACAUGUUUCAAAGAUAAAAUUAUGAUUUUGCCCUUCUUUUUCGAAAAUCCGUUUCGGGGGUCCGUUUUGACCCCAACUUGAAAAUAGGCAAUAUGAGUAUCAUUGGCUUUCUUUUGACACAUAACAACAACAACAACAAACCCAGUGUAUUCCCACCUAGUGGGGUCUGGGGGGGGGGGUAAGAUGUACGCAGUCCAUACCUCUACCUUUAAAGAAGUAGAAAGGUUGUUUUCGAAUUGACACAUAAAUUCUAUAUUUUCAUGUUGUAGCUGAUUACAAGUCCAUUUGGGUGGAGUAAGGCUUCAGAAUGCAGGCUUGCGGAUCGAUUUUCAACAUUCGAGGUAAGUCAUGACUUAACUUUCUUCAAACUAGGCUAGGUAGUUAAUGUUAAUACAAAAGCAUAUUAAGAGUGUGGGGACUAAUCAUGAAAGUGAAUAAAUUAUUGUGUUGUGCUUGUGUGGGGGCCAAUAUUGAUGUACUAGGUGAAUUUGGAACAUUAUUUGCUAUGUGUUACCGUGUGAGUCUUAUAUGCUAUUGUUGGCCUGAUGUAUCUGAAAUUAGUUUUAUCUUGAUUAAUGAAAAGCCUAUUGUGGUAUCAAUGGUAUAUUUGAUGUAUUUUACACUAAUGGCAUAUGGUUUAUGUUGGACUUCUUGGAUGGUUGGGAAUAUUGAGUGAAUUUUUGGCCCACUUGGUUGGUAUAUUGGUUGGAUAUGGAAACAUUCAUUCUGGUUGAUUGUGAAUAUUACAUUCUCAUAUCAUAUACAUUCAUGAAACAUUGGUACCACUGUGGAAAUACUAGAAAUACUGGCUUUUUCUGACAAAAAAUGUGCUAUCUUAAAAGUUCUCUACCGAAGGAUGUGCUAGAGAGAAGAUGUGGAUAUGGUAUUGGAUAUGGAUUGUAUAUGGGUUGACGAACCUCCCAUGGAUCCUAUGUUGGAAAGAUUAAGCUCCGUAGGUGUAUAUAGAGGUUAUGCGACACCCUCGCACAUCACAUCAUCAUCAUCAUCAUCAUCAUCAUCAUUCAUCAUCAUUAUCAUCAUCGUCAUCAUCAUCUUCAUUGCAUCUACAUUGUGUGCUUAUGCUGUGAUUUUUCUUAACCUGUUACUUUCCCUUUGUUCUACUUGCCUUUACUUGUGUUGAUGUUCGUAUAUAUGUAUUUGUCUCUUUUCUCUACUUGAAUUUGUUAUAUGUAUGGAUAUUAAAACUAUUAGUGGAGAUGGUAUGGGCUACCGUUGUGAGAUUUUUUCUAAUUGUAGGUGAUGUCCUCUUAGUGUGUAUUUUAUAUGCUUUAUUUUCUACUUUUCUCAGUCGGCCUAUGAAGCCUAUUGAGUACAAGUGGACCGUACUCACCCCUACUGUGCUCUUUCAUUGCAAAUCCUGGUUCGAGUGCCUUCACAGUGGUUGACUUCGGGCGACACUUUUGAGCUAUUCGAGGUAGUGGUUGAAUUCUUGCUUCCAGAGUUGACUACUGCCUUUCUUUACACAAGAGUGACAAUGAGUCCAGCCAAUGACUCGUAGUGUCUGACCACGAGUCGUCAUCACUAAACACAGAAAAAAGGCAACGAAGUUGACACCGAGUCAUAUCAGUCGAGACGACUCGUUGCCUGGGGCGUGACUACUGCCGACUUUAUUUUCCUAUUUAUUUUAGUUAGGUUUUCUUUGUUAUUUUGAGAAACUACGAAUACCCAUUGGAUAUUUUUGUAAUAGUUUACGCACUUUUUACUCUUAAAAACAUAAUUGUGAUUUUGAGAUUGACUUUUGAUCUUGGAGUUCCUUUGUUCUUGGUUUUUGUGAUUAAUUGAUUUAAGAUUUUGAAUUUUAUUCUUCAUUGUUGUGAUAUUAAUUCUAUGUUUUCUUUAUUGAAUUUCAUGGAUUGUUUUGCAACUAUGAGCGGCUAAUUCUCUUAGCUAGGGGUGUGGGUACCUUGACAAAACAACGAACUAGGGGAAAUGUAAGGUUCUUUUAGAUCAUUGUUUACACUUGCAUUGUGAGCUUCUUCAGUUUAAUUGCUUUCUUAGUAGUGGAAAACGUUAAGAACCCGCCUAUAUUCGAGAUCGUCUUUACAAGAAAGAUUGAGAUUGGGCAAAGAGGAUUAAAAUAGUGAUUCAAGGCUAUUAACCCUCUUCUAAUAACUUGAUACCCAAAAGGUGAUAGUUAAACUGGGAUCAAAGACAAAGGUGAGCACGAGAAACCUACGAAGUUAGGAAGCCGGGGGGACACAGUCCUAGUGUUCAUCUCAGAUUGUUCCCAACCAAAAGCAUUUGCAACUUGUUACUUUUUAUUGUUUACUACAAAUUCCCCCCAUUUAUUUUCCUGCACUUUUGGCCACUUCAGCAAGUUCAAGAGAUAGAUUCGACCAAUUCCCUAUGGGAUCGACCCCAACUUAGUUACAUUACUAUAAUUUGACAAUGAUCGCAUUGUAUCUUCUUGAAGGGUAUAGUUUCAAUGACAUCAAAUUUUGGCGCUGUUGUCGGGGAAUACCAUUGUGGAUUUAUUGAUUAAAAUGUUUUUAAGGUUUUCGGCUUUUACUUUUCUAUUCUUCUUGGGGCAUACACUGGUGUAUUCCCAGUACUAGGAGUCAAGGAAAUUCCUUGAUCCCAUUUUAUCCAGAGCUAGAAUAAAUCCUACAAUAGAAUCAUAGGAUGUCACAACACAGUCGAGACACUCGUUAUGAGCUACCUCAAGAUGAUCCAUAGGACUUUUCCCCCACUUCCUCAGAAGACAGUUGAGCAAACCAUAGAGAGGUUACUAGCAGAGGCUAAUGCAAGGAGAUAUAAUGAGGCUACCUAACAUACAACUUAAAUGAUAGAGAGAGCAAGAUAGACACCGAUAGCUGAUCAUCGAGAAGAACUUGAUAGGGGUAGAAAAGACAGAGCUCUAGUACCCUCAACUUUUCAGUACUUGCUAGCAUGAAGAUCCAGAUGAAGACUUGGGGUAUGAAGAGUCUAUUGAGUUAGGAGCUAUCAUUUCUCUUACAUUACCCCUGGGGGUGAAGUUUAACAUUACUAGUGCUAUGAUCUAGUCGUUGAAUUUGAAAGAUGUGUUUGCUGGCUUGCCGACUAAUAAGCAAACAUGCACCUAAUAAAUUUUAUUGGGAUUUGCACUUCAUACACUAUACCUGGGAUGGAUCAGAAAGCUCUCAGACUCAGGUUGUUCCCAUUCUCUCUAACUGGUGAUGUGAUAUUGUGGUUAGGGGAACUACCUCAUGGGUCCAUUACUACUUGGAACGAGUUACAAAAGCAGUUUUUAGAUCGCUUCUUCCCUCCCGCUAGAAUUCUAUAGUUGAAGGACGAGAUCUAUAAUUUUAGGAAAUUUCAUUUUGAAUUAAUUAUGAGUCAUGGUUUCGAUUUAAGAAGAAGUUGAUGAUGGUGCCCAAUCACAGAAUUUCAGGAAGAAAUUUGCUGGAUAUUUUCUAUUGUGCAUGAAUACUAAUUCCAUAGCUAUAGCAGAUACUAUUACUAGUGAAGCAUUUAUGAACCUGUUUGGGAGGUGGCAUAAAAAAUCUUAGAUUAAAUCUUGCUCACCAAUCGAGGGUAGCAUACUUGGGAAAUAGAGAAAGGUGUCGAUAUUUAUGCUAUUGGUGCUUCCAAUGAGCCUAGAAUGGUAGAUGAGUCAGUGGCUCAAGAUUCGCACAACUGAGAAUGAAGUUUGGGUUACUAUCAAAGCAGCUUGGAUGAAUGAGUUUCGAGAAGGUGAAUGUCGUGGGCGCACAAGGAAAAGUUUCUAGGUCAUAUGAUUUUAACGUAGAUGUAGACGCGACGUAUCUAGAUAGAGAGUUGCCAGGUUUUCGAGCCAGAGAGUUGCCAGGUUUUCGAGCCAAGUUCCAAUCAUUUUCUUAAGCUAAUUAGAACCCAAGUCAAGGGAAUCAAGGUCGAAACUACUGUACAGAUAAAUAUAGGAAUCAAAGUAUAGAGAGAGAUGAUGACGAGGGACAUAAGGAUAAUUAUAAAGAGAAGAGUGGUGUGUAUGUUCUACUAGGGAACUGUGAUAAUGAGUCAAGGAUUGAAGCUAUGUUUUCAAAGCUGGUAAAGGGUCAACAAAGUCAAAAAAGUUACCUUAAGUAGAUUAAGACAGAUAUUUCAGGUUUGACCCAAAAAAUGGAAUCACAUGCUACUGCGAUCAAGCAACUUGAAAAGCAAUUUAGUCAGAUGUCAUCAACCUUGAAUCAAUAUCAUCCUGACAUUCUUCCAAGUAAUACUGUACAGAAUCUGAAGAAUGAUAGUCACUUUUUGGUCAUCACCACUCAAAGUGGUAAGGCCACUAUUGAUCCUCCUAUGCCUAUAGUUGAUGAAGCAAGGAAUGUUGUUGUUGAUGUAGAUGAGGAACCUAAACUGGAAUCUGAAAGGUUGGUGACUAGUGGGGAGUCAUCACAAAAAUCAACAUGUAUUGAUAAAAGUGUUGAGGAGAAUAAAGAAAAAGGGGAAGGUAGUUGAGCCUAUAUUGAAGACCAUUCCAUGACCUCCCCCACCUUUUCCUCAGAGAUUGAAGAAACAACAGGAAGGAAAGUAUCAGAAGUUCUUAUCGAUGUUGAAAGAAUUAUCUGUUAAUAUUUCUCUUGUAGAAGCAUUGGAGAAGAUGCCUAGAUACACUAAGUUCAUGAAGGAUUUGGUUACUGGAAAGCGGAUGGUAAGUUUUGAGCCCUCUGUUAAUGUUCAUCAUUGCAUUGUUGUUACUUCUCGAUCAUUGGUUGAGAAGAAGGAAGACCCCAUAGCAUUUACUAUUCUAUGUUUUAAUUUCUCUUGAGCUGUAUGUGAUUUAGGAGCUAGUAUCAAUCUAAUGUCAUUGGUGGUAUACAAAUAGUUGGGGUUGGGGUCACCCAAACCUACUUCUAUGAGGUUAUUGAUGGCUGUCUGGACUGUAAAGAAACUGGUUAAUAUUUUGUGUGAUAUUUUGGUGAGGGUGGUAUCCUUCAUAUUCCCAGCUAAUUUCAUGAUCCUUGAUUGUAAGACGGACUUCGAAGUCCCUAUUAUCUUAGGCAGGCCUUUCCUAGUUACAGGUAAGGCCUUGGCUAACAUAGAGGUGAGACAGAUGUAGUUCAGACUCAAAGACGAGUAAGUUACUUUUAAUAUGUGUCAAUCUAUGCGAUAACCAAAGGAUAUGCGAGUAGUGUUAGUUAUUGAUACUAUUGAUGAUGAUGCGGUGACUGUGCCCACUAAAGAGAGACUUGGGGUUGAGGCGUUAGCGGUAGUUAUCAUGAACUUUGAAAGCGAUGACAGAGAUGAGUAUGAUGAGGUGGUGAGCGCAUUGUAUGGUAGAGGUUCUUAUAAUUAUACUCUAAAAAAGCUGGAUCUUGAUCUAAAAAAUAGAACCAAUCCUCCAAUUCGACCAUUUAUUGAUGAGCCACCCAUCUUGAAAUUAAAGGCACUCCCAUCUCACUUGUGGUAUGCAUUUUUGGGGGCCGACAAUACCUUGCCAAUCAUUAUUUCUGCUGACUUAUUAGAGACAUAGGUUGAAGCAAUGAUCUCAGUGUUUCAGAGGUUCAAGAGGGUCAUUGUAUGGACUAUUAUAGACAUUGUGAGGAUUCCACCUGGUAUUUAUACUCGUAAGAUACAGCUUGAACGGGAGUGUAUACCUAGUAUUGAUUACCAAUAUAGGUUGAAUCCUCUUAAGUAGGAGGUAGUGAAGAACGAAAUCAUCAAGUGGUUAGAUGUUGGAGUGGUUUACCCCAUUGCAGAAAGUAAGUGGGUUAGCCUGGUUCAAUAUGUACCAAAGAAGGGGGAUCACAGUGGUCCCUAAUGAGAAGAAUGAAUUGGUACCCAUGAGAUCGGUCACUGGAUGGAGAGUGUGCAUGGAUUAUAGGAAGCUAAAUACUUGGACUCAGAAGGACCACUUUCCUAUUCUUUUUGCAUUCAAGAGCAUGCCAUUCGGACUAUGCAAUGAUCCCAUCACUUUUCAUAGAUAUAUGAUGUCGAUAUUUUCUGGCAUGGGGGAAUACACUAUAUAAGUAUUCAUGGAUGACUUUUUAUUAGUUGGGGACUCCUUUGAUGAUUGCUUGGUCCAUUUGUCCAACACACUCUAAAGAUGUGAGAAGUGCAAUCUGGUGCUAAAUUUGGAGUAGUGCCAUUUUACUGUGAAGGAAGGUAUUUUUCUCAAUCGUAAAAUCUCAAAAUGGGGUAUUGAGGUGCAUAAACUGAAGAUUGAGGUGAUUAAGAAAUUACCUCAUCCGAUCUCAGUUAAAGGCAUCCGAAGCUUUUUGGGUCAUGCUGGCUUCUAUAGGAGGUUCAUUAUGGAUUUCUCUAAAACUUUUAAUCCUCUGUGCAAGCUUUUAGAGAAGGAGGUGAAAUUUGUAUUUGAUGAUGCAUGUCUCAAGGCCUUUGAGUGACUUAAGGAGCAGUUGAUCUUGACUCCUAUUAUUGUGUCCCCUAAUUAGUCUUUAUCGUUUGAGGUUAUAUAUGAUGCUAGCGAAGUGGCCUUGGGUGCUGUCCUAGGCCAAGGACGCGAGAAAAUCCUCCACCCAAUCUGUUAUGCCAGCAAGUCAUUAAACCCUAUACAAAAAAAUUAUACAAUCAUAGAGCAGGAGUUCCUUAGAGUGGUUUUUGCCUUUGAGAAGUUUCAGUCCUAUUUGAUAGGGACCAAAGCCAUAGUUCACACAGAUCAUGAAACUUUGAGGUAUCUAAUGUCAAAGAAAGAUUCCAGACCGAGGUUGAUAUGUUGGGUCCUCUUACUACAAGAAUUUGACUUUGAGGUAAAAGAUCGUAAAGACACUGAGAACCAGGUUACUGAUCACUUAUCUCGUCUUGAGGAGGAGGCAAUGCAAAAGUUAGGGGAUGAGAUUGACAUAGAUGAUACUUUUUCAGAUAAGCGGGUCUUGGCAACAUCUCAAGACUUAAUCCCCUGGUUCACUGGUUUUGCCAACUUUUUGGCAAGUGAUCUUGUUUUGGAAGAUUUGUCAUUCCAACAGAGAAAGUGGUUCAUGCAUGAGGUGAGAACAUUUUUCUAGGAUGAGCCUUAUCUUUCUUAGAUUUAUGUGGAUGGUGUUAUUCAUAGAUGUAUUCCUGAGAUGGAGAUGAUGAGAAUCCUUGAGGCUUGUCACUCAUUACCAGUUGGGGUUCAUCACGGUGGUACCCAUAUAGCCUACAAAAUUAUGUAGUGUGUGUAUUAUUGGCCAACUAUCUAGAAGGAUGAUCAUGACUAUGCUCAAUGUAUUGACCAAUGUCAGCAACAAAGAAACAUCUCAUGGAAACAUGAACUCCCCAUGAUACCUAUCUUGGAGUUAGAAUUGUUUGAUGUAUGGGCAAUUGAUUUCAUAGGCUUGUUUGUGAGCUCCUAUGGUAUGAAGUACAUUCUAGUGGCAGUCAACUAUGUUUUAAAGUGGAUGAAGGUGAUUACGCUUCCUAAAAAUGAGGCUCGAAGUAUUACUAUAUUCAUGAAAAAAACAUAUUUUCUUAAUUUAGCACUCCAUGUGCUAUUAUCAAUAAUGGUGGGUCUCACUUCUGCAAUCGUCUCUUAAUGUCUUACUCAAAAAAUAUGGUGAGAAACAUAAGGUAGAAACUCCUUACCAUCCUCAGAUGAGUGGGCAAGUUGAGGUCUCCAAUAUAGAGAUCAAGUCCAUAUUGACAAAGACUAUCAAUUUUAAUCGGACUGACUAGUCAAGAAAGUUAGAUGAUUCUUUGUGGGCCUAUAGGAUAGCUUUUAAGACCCCCAUAGGCGCCUCACCAUAUCAACUUGUGUACGGCAAGGCAUGCCACUUGUCAGUCAAACUUGACCAUAAGGCACUAUGGGCAUUGAAAAGGCUCAAAUUUGAGUGGCAUGAUGUAGCUAAGCUGAGGUUGGGCAAGGUGAAUGAGUUGAAUGAAUUCUGCCUCCAUGCUUAUGAAAGUUCUGCUCUAUACAAAGAAAAGAUGAAGCUGUAUCAUGACAAAAAAAUUGAGAGAAAAAUGUUUGAGCCCAGUGAUUUGGUCUUGUUGUAUAAUUCAAGAAUUCAUUUGUUCCUAGGAAAUUAAAGUCUAGGUGGUAUGGAUCAUUCACCAUGGUUCGGGUGUUCCCGUAUGGAGAUAUAGAGCUAAAACGUGAUAGUGAAGCCCCAUUCAAGGUGAAUGGGCAGCGGGUGAAGCACUAUAUGGGAAACCUUGACAAGUUAAAAUUAUAUGUUGACAUGAGCCUUGGCAAAGUCUGAGUAACCAAGAAAACUACGUUGUUCUGCGACAUUAAAUCAGGCGCUGCAUUGGAGGGUACCCAUGUGCUAGUUGGUAAAGUUUGAGUACCAAACCUAGCCACAUCGUGCCGCAACAUUAAAUCAAGAUUUACGUGGGAUGCAACCCAUGUUUUAUACUUAUUACAUUAUAGGGUAACUUGUGUGUUCAGUAUACAGGGCUAGAGAUUGCAAAAAAAACCAAAAAAAUUUCUGGUGUGAGGUCCCUAUGAGGGACCCUACGAAUCGUAGGGUCACCAUACAACUCAUCACCAGAUUCGUGGUUAGCUUGAUCCCAAACCACCUUUAGGUAAAGGUUCUUUGGAGCCAUGAUGAAUCUUAUAAUGAAUCUGAUGUUAGGUGUAUUUAUGCACUUUAGUGUUACUAUUCUAGCUUAUAGCCUAGUUUUGGGAACAAUUCAUGUUCUUUAUGUGUGAUAAUGAUAUAAAUAAGCAUAUAGGUGUUCAAGGAUGUGAUUACAAUGGUUAAAAGUGUUUUCAAACAAGUUUGUAAUUGAUUGAGUCAUUUAGAGUUCAAUCGAAAAAACUAGUUUUACUUGCUUGAGCUAGUUGUGUGCCUAGUUGGUUUCGUGGGAUUCUAAUGUGUUAAAGGAGUUCCAAAUGGUUUAAAUGUGUAAUUACAAGUGUAAUAACUUGUUAGUAAAGUGUAAAUUUCAAUUGGAUUAAGUUAAGAGUCGGAACAAUAAGCUUAAGAUCAAUAUGGACUAGCCAAGUCUUAGCUUGUGUUUUUGAUUCAUCGUUAUGGAUAUUGUGUUGUUAUGAUCUCUUAUCCAUGGCGUGUGAUUAUGUAGGAAUAUUUGUGAUCUGAUAAUGGUGAUAUAUUGAUGAUAUAAAGGCUGAAAUUGAAGGAAAAAUAACACCACAAGGCAUGAGGGACCCGAACACUUAACCAAUAUUGUGGAAGCAACUUCCAGUGAGACAACGCGAUAUAGGUGCGGCGCAUCACUUGUUCUUUGCAGAAACCAAUGCGGCACAUUGGAUAUUCCAUGAAAAAGGUGAGGCAGCGCAUUAGAUAUUCCAUGGAAUCAUCAAUGCGUCGUGUUGCAAUCCGCUACACGGCCAAAUUGCUACGUACUUGUCCUACACGGCUUAGGCUACCAUCUUAUACUAUAAAUAGAACAUUGUUCACAUAUUGUAAAGAAUCUUGGACUUUUGGGCAUCUUGGAGGAUUGAGGGGCUGCUGAAACUUCAUCUUUUAGUUUUUUCUUACUUUAAUUUAGUUCAUUCAUGUCCUUAGUUGUUAAUUACAAUCGUGUGAUUACAAUAAUGACUAUGCGUGGCUAAACACCCUCUUUCUGGGAUUAAAGCCAAGAACAUGAGUACUAUUGUUUUGAAUUGAUUUCAUUUAAUUUGCUUAUCAUAUUUGGUUGCUUGUUUUUCCUUGUUUUAAUUAUUUUGAGGAUUGAUCACCCUUAAAAUAUACAAUGUCAACCUUGUGAUCUCGGGAGAUGGAAUAGGAAGAUAGAACGUGGGGAUGAACAAAGUAGGAUUCUUAUUUCUUUAUAAAAUAAGGAAUUUGAAUUAGCAUCUAGGACAGGGAUGUACCUAGAAGCCUUACUUGAUUCACAUGUAGGGUGAUAGAUUAAAGAACUUAAUUGUAUUAUUAUAUCCCCGCUCAACGAUGUAGUUGUAAUGUCCAAAUUAGGUAAACGAUUAAAGGUCAGGAGACCACGAUCAUGCAAUUAACCCUACGAAUCAACAACCAAGAUAAGCAAGUUAACGAAUGAAGUUCAAUAACGUAGUAUGAUUGUUCGGAGUGCUUUAACCCUAGGCUUUCUCCUAUUGAUUGUCUCAAGUCCUUUAUUUUAUGCAAUGUUUACUUUAAAAUUAGUUAUAACUUUAAAACUCUCUUUUGGUUACUCUUGCAUCAAUUGAAUCUAAAUUGUGAAUUGAAAUCAAAUAGUUAUUAGAACAAGUCCCAGUGGGAUCGAUAUUCGGCUUUCUUGAAGGUCACUAUACUACUUGGUAGACCACGUACAUUUGUGUGUGCACUUGGGCGUUGUCACAAUCAUUGUCAGUGACAACGAAUCGUCACCUUGAGUCAUUAUGACCGAAGAACCCAAGGUUCCAGUCAGAAUGGAGGGAGUCUACGACUCGCAUCCUUUGGUUACAAGUCGUAGAAAAUGCUUGGACUUUUUGUCUAUAGUUGGGUUCAUAGGGUGUAAACCCAAUUGUUCUUGAGAGCUAUGAUUUUUAUGAAUCAAAAUAGGGAGUAAAUGAUAUUUGUACUAAAAAUUGGAUAUGGCGAUGAAGUAGGAGUGUAUUGUAGAUGUGAAACCAAUGGAGAAGUCUGAGUACCCAUUAGGUAUGUGAAAAUCAAAACUGAACCCUCUAAGUAUCCAUGCAACAGUAGCUAUGAGACCCAUAACAAAUCAUAGUGUCACCUAACGAGUUGUUACUUGACUCGUAGCCACUGGGAAUAUGGGUGUAAAUACGAAUUUGGUUUCUAGUCACACCACCACUUACACUAUGAGUCGUUGUCUCACCAUAUGACUCAUAUUAUAGACUCGUGAUGACUAGGCAGGGGAGUACUUUAAGGAAAUUUUUUUGGUCCGACUAUGAGUGUUGGUGACAAGUCAUUUUCUGACACAAAGACUCAUUAGAAGGACUCGUAGCCUGACUAGUAAAUGAUCCAUAUGUCUUCUUUCACCCUACGAGUCUCAUAAUGACUCGUAACCUCUGGAAACUAGUCGUACCCUGAAUAGUAGGGUGCCUAACUGUUGCAACAUACUUGUUCUUUUUCUUGUUUUUCUUCCCUUUUCCUAGGAUUAACUAAUGUGUACGCUUCAAAAGGUACCAAUGGCACCCAAGAACGAUUCCACCAAGAAGCAAACACCAAAUAAUCAAAUCCACUCCCCACUAGUCAUCUCAAGGACGAAGCCACUAAUGAUGAGUCAAGUGGCUCCAUCAAAGAAUAUUCACUUGAGAGAGUGGUGGAACCAAGUAAGAGCCCACCUUGGGGCUCUAAAGCUGCUUCACCAGAAAACUCACCACCACCUACUAGGUCAAGGAUGAAUAAUCCUAUCACAUCGCCACCACACUCAUAGUCCUAAUCUGAAGAGGACAACUGUCCUCAAGGAUGAGGAUGAGGAAGCCGAUGAUGCAAAUAGCGGGUCAGAAAAAAUGAAAUCUGAGAAUGAGGGGUCAAAAAAUGAAGAGGAGGAGGAGGAAGAGGAGAGCAAAUCUAGUGAUAAAUCACUUGAGAUACCACCUCCUCCACCACAUGCUGAGCCAUUACAAAUUAAGACUUUCCCAUUAUUAACCAGGUGGGUACCCCGAGAUGUAGUAAUUAUAUAAGAGAGACAGUGCCAUCACCCCUUUUACUCAAUGACCAAAGAGAGGAUUCAACUUAGAGCCCAAGCUGAGUAUUACAAGCCUGUAUGAUAUGCCUGACUUUAUGACUCAUUUCAUAUAGUAUCACUUUAAGUAGUUGACUAAGGCUUCCAGAUAGUAUAGCCUGGUAUUGGUGUAGGAGUUUUAUGCCACUUAUUAGAUGGAGCUGAAAUAGCUUUAUCCACAGGGGAGAUUGUGAAAGGGUGGUGACCCCUUGGUUGCAGUUAUGAUCAGAGGUGUUCAUAAGAACAUCUUAACACAAACUAUCUCCAGGUGUCACAUAUAUAACGCCUCGAGUAUGCACCCCGAACGUCACACGAUGCUUACGACCCUGAGGGACCAUAAGCUAACCUAUGACUGGUACCUGGUAUGAUCACUGAAUAGUAAUACUGAAAACAUAUGUGAAAAUAAUAUGAAAAUGCCAUAAGGUUCGUAAGCUGAAAUCAAGAUACAAAAUACUAAUAGUAAUAUUGAGUAUAACUAACAACAAUAUCAGAUAAACUGAAUAACUGACUAAGCUAGUUUGAAAGCCUCUAACUAUCUGAAUAUGGAGUUGAUGGGAUAAGUCUCCAACUAACCCCAACUGAACUGACUACUGAGCUGCCAAAAUAAUGAAAUAAUAACCUCAUCCUCAAAAUAUGAGGACCUACCACUAUUUCUGCUGCUGAUAGCCAGAGUUGCUAGGUAUGGUCAAGAACCUGAGUGUUCGAACCUAUGAUAUGAUACAUCAUAGCGCAAAGGAAGAGUAUGUGUUAGUAUAUGGAAUAUACUGGUAUGCUAAAUGGGGUAGGCUAAUAUACAUGGGUUUAUAUGCAUGAGAUAAUAAUUGACUGAGUGAAUAUCAUGAAGCAACUGAAUGAGAGUACAUGUAAAAUAGUAACUAUUGGACAUACUGAACAUGUGAUACUGCGCAUGUAGAAGUAUAACUACUGAACAUACCAAACAUGCGAUACUGCACAUGUAAUUAUACAUCAUGUAUCAAAGAUCUAUACUAAAACUGAAUACUGAAUUUUGAUGGCUAUAUAAUUGAUAACUGAUAACUAAUAGCCAUUGUUCUGUAGAACUAUCUGACUUCUUUACUGUAUACUGAGAUGAAACUGUAACUGUGGAAGUGUUUAUCUAACCGACAUACCCCGAUAUAGACUGAUUUAGGGUCCAACCUCUGAUCCUAGUUGGAAGGGUGUUAGCACCUUGCCACGGGAUACUAACAAAGUUGGGUCAACCCUAAUCUGGCAGAAAGACUCAUGAAAUAUGUAUGUGUUUGCAUCAACCCUAGUCUGGCAGAAGGCUAUGCUGGCUAAGUAGUUCUAUAAUGCAGGGACUACUACUAAGGGUCAAACCUUCUGCUGGCAGGAAUGAACCUAUCCCUGGGUUCGCUCGGUGCUGAAUCCUACUCCCAACUAAAUAAACACUAAACUGAUUACUAGACUGUGCUAGGCUUGACGGAACUGAUACUCAUCGUGUUGACUGACUGUACUGGACUGAGUUCACCGAGUUCUCUUAAUUGACUGAAUACUACUACUCUUGACAUCUACUGGGACUAUUCUAUAGCUACUGCAACUAAGUAAAAAACUAGAUUUCAGGUAAUAAGUACCCUAAGACUCGAUAACAUCACUAAUAAUACAAUAUAACAAUUCUUAAAAGCAUAGAAAUAGUCAAUUGAUCACAAUGCAAUCACUGAGACAUUUUUUUCAAAUACUUGGAAGUCAUGAUCUUGUACAUGAAUGAGAACAAAUGCUAACAUGUUAUGGUUACAUUAUUCAAUUCACAUGGACAUUCUAUCAAACACUUUCAAGGAAUAGCAUUAGCAUAUGAGUAAUUUGAACAUGUAGUAAUAGCAUGAAUUCAUUACUAAGAUCACCAAUGGAUCACAAUGCACCAUUAAUUUACUUAGGCAUUUUGUCAAACACUUAUGAGGCAUAACCUUAUACCUGGGCAUGAACAAUAGAAUUGGUUCAUACCUCUUAUUCAAUCUAGGAUUAUGCCUAGCUCUAUGUUAAAGAGUUGGUUAGAUUACACGAAGUUACAUUGUCCAUUAUCUCAGAUAGAGAUACACAGUUUACCUCUUAUUUUGGGAAAGCUUUCAAAAAGGGUUUUGGUACCCACGUUCACCUUAAUACAGCCUUUCACCCUCAGACAGAUGGUCAAGUAAAAUGGACCAUUCAAAAUUUAGAAUAUAUGUUAAGGGUGUGUUCCAUUGACUUUAAGGGUAGUUGGGAUGACCACUUGCCCUUGAUUUAGUUCGUAUAUAAUUACAGCUAUCAUUCAGGAAUUUGGAUGGCUCCGUUUGAGGUGCUUUAUGGGAGGAGAUAUUGAUCUCCCAUUGGUUUGUUUGAAGUAGGUGAGGCUGCAGUGGUAGAGCCUGACUUGGUAUUUGAUACCUUAGAAAAAGUUUAGUUGAUCAGGAAAGAAUUAAGGCAGCUCAGAGCCCACAGAAAUCAUAUGCAGAUAUGCGAAGAAAGGAUCUUGACUUUGAGAUUGGCGACUAUGUGUAUUUGAAAAUCUCUCCUAUGAAAGGCGUGAAGAGAUUUAUCAAGAAGGCGAAACUCAGUCCCCGAUAUGUCGGUCCUUACUGAAUUCUCAACUAUUUCGGAAAGGUAGCUUACGAGCUUGAGUUGCCUUCAGACUUAGCUUCAGUACAUCUAGUGUUUCAUGUCUCCUUGCUUAAGAAGUGCAUAAGAGACCCAAUAGUUAUAGUCCCUAUAGAGGGUUUAGAUGUUCAAAAUAGUCUUUCUUAUAAAGAGAUCCCAGUAGAAAUCCUCGAUCAUCAGGUUCACAGAUUGAGGAACAAAGAAGUUUCGCUAGUUAAAGUUCUUUGGCAAAAUCAGUCUGUUGAGAGAGCUACUUGGGAAGUAGAAGCAGAUAUGCGGAAAAAGUAUCCUCACCUUUCUCCGUAAAAUCAGACUCAACUCAAGGUAACAGUCUUUCUUAGAUUUGCUUAGUUCAAUGUUUAGUUACAGUUAUAAAUUUAGUGUUCAUUACCAUUGCAUAUCAUCAUCAUGAUAGUCAUGCAUUCAUGAAUCAAAUUAACUAUGUACUCAUGCAUCAAAUAUUAUGUUUAGUUUGAAAACUCAGCUUAUCAGUAGUUUCAGUUAGGUAUUCCAUGCAUCAGAUAUGCAUGUGUAGUGUGUAAGCUCAGUCUGUCAGUGUUUCUUAGCUUAGUCUAAUUCAAGGAAAAAUGUUCCCAAGGGGGAGAUAUUGUAAUAUCCCACAAAAUUUUAAGCUUAACUCAGUCCGUUAAAGUUUGAAAAGAGGUCCCAAACUUAGAAAUUUCAGCUAAGUAUGUAUACUUAGAAGUAUUUUACCCUUCGUAAGUUGGCAAUCCUAUUUCAUGACCCUUAUGACCUUAAAGUAUCGAUUUUUAAGUUUAUUCAUGAUUAGGAAUGUCGGUAGGUCACUUUGAGUGAUUUUUGGAUUUUUUGAAUCUCGUUUGAACUAUGUUCAGGUGAACAAAAUAAUGGGUCGAUGCGAUCUCGAUGCAUCGCAUCACCCAUCGCAUUGAUAGAUAAUUUGCCCCUAGCUUUUAGUUCAAUUCCAGUGAACCAAUGUGAACUCGAUGCAGCGCAUUAGUCAUUGUGUUGAUGCCAUCGACGUGGCACGUUGGUCUGUGCGUCACAGGACACAUUUUCAAUCAUUAAAAGCCAGCAUCUAGAGGGGUAAUUGGGUCAUUUACCACCCGUAUUCAGCCUCAAAAACACGAGAUUAAGUCAUUCUUAGGGCUAAAACACUCACUUUCUCUCAAAUUCUCUCAAGAACAAACCCUAACCUAUCAAAGUCAAGAUCAAGAUUCAAGAACUUCACUAUCAAUCUUCAGGAAGUCAAGCACCAAGGUAUGUUAGGUGUUCAUCCAAGGGUUUCCUUCUACCCUUAGAGUUCAAGAACCAGUUUUUAAGUUUAUUGACUUCAUGAAUUCCAUGUUGAUCUUGAAUGCAUUCAUGAUUAUGAUGUUAAUUGAGUUUAUAAUUCAUGAUUUAUUACAAGAUUCAUGUAGAUUUAUUAUGACAUGUGUGUAGUAUUAUGUGAAUUCUUGUUAAAGCCCUUGAAUUUAUGAGUUGGGAUUAGAAAUCAUGAUGCCUACAUGUUGAGUAUUAUUAUGUGCAUAGAUUAUGUUCCCCAAGUGUUUGAUUAAUUGCUCAUAUGAAUUAAAUGGGAAAAUCAUGACAUGCUAGCAUAUGUAUAAGCUUAUAUCUUAUAAGUGUUUGAUAAAAUGUCUCUAUCAAUGCUUUUCAAGAUUAUGCUAUGCUUUACCUUUCAUGUUAUCGAGUCCUGGGGGUAUCUAAUACCUGAAAAUCUAGUUGUUUACCUAGAAUUAUAGUAGCUUUAGUAUAGUCUCAGUGAUGUCUCAUACAUUAGUAUUCAACCAGUUAACAGAAUUCAGUAUAUACAGUAAGUUAACAAACUUAGUGUACUCAGUCAGCUAAUAGAAUUCAUCAUACUCAGUCAGACAAUAGAACUUGGGGAACUCAGUUCAGUUAGACAGUACGAUCAGUAAUAGUUCAGUCAAGCCUAGAACAAUCUAGAAAUCAGAUUAGUCCAGGUCUAUUUAGUUAGGAGUAGGAAUCAGCACCGAGCGAACCAGGGAUGGGGGCAUUCCUUUCAGUAAAGGUUUUGACCCUUAGUAGCAAUCCCUACAUUACAGAACUACAUAGCCAGCAUAGGUUGAGAUGUCUUUCUACCAGUCUAGGGUUGAUACAUCUCGUAUGAGUUUUCCUGCUAGCGAAGGUUGAUGAAAGAGCUUCCUGUCAGACAGGGUUAACUCAUAGCCAUUGUUAGUAUCCCUUGACAAGGUGCUAAUACCCUUCCAACUAGGGUCACAGGUUGGACCCCAACUCAGUCAUACUCGGGGUAUUUUAGUUAGAUGAACUCUCCCAUAGUUUUAUUUUCAGACUCAGUAUAAAAUCUUAGAAUUAGGACUGUCAGACACAGUCACCCAACUUAGUAUAGAACUCAGUUCAUUUCUACAGAAUUAAGACUGUCAGAAAUAGUCACUCAGUAUUUCAUAAUUUAGUAUGAGUAAACUUAGAUAUCAGUUAUUCAGUACAUAGUGUUAAGAUUAAUCUCAGUUACAGCAUGCAUAGUUGUGAGAAUAUCAUUAAAUAUUCAGUAAUUACAGUAGUGUUAGAUAUACAUAUAUUCUCAGUCAGUUAUAUUCAUGUUACUCAGUUAGUUAUUAUUCAUGCAUAUAAAAUCAUGCACAUCAGCCUAUCUCACUUAGCAUACUAGUACAUUCAAAGAACUAACGUAUAUCUUUUUUUGUACUAUGAUGUCUUAUAUCAUAGGUUCAGAUGCAUGGGCUCCUAAACAUACCUUGAAGCCCAGAUUAUCAACAGUAGAUUUAGUGGUGAAUCCUUAUAGUUUAAGGACAGAGUUAUUAUUUCAAUAUUUUUAGUAUAUUAUCAGUAGUCGGGGUUAGUUGGGGACUUAUCCCAUCAACUCCAUUUUUUAGACAGUCAGUUAAAGGCUUUUCAAACUAGAUUAUUUUAGAUGGUUAUUCAGUUUUCAGAUAUGAUUGUUAGAUGUUCAGUAUUUAGUAUUUACGCAUCAGUAUAUGAUUUAGUUUUGAACCUUAUGGAGAUUUCCACCUAAUUUACAUAUUAUACAGUAUUAUUAUUCAGUAAUUGCAACAGGUACCAGCCAUGGGUUAGCUUGUAUUCCUUUAGGAUUAUGAGCAUCGUGUUACAUCCGAGUACAGACUUGGGGCGUUACAGACUCAUAGUUUCAUCUGUGUGAUUGCCCAUAUUUUUUGUUCUGACCAUGAUAUAACUAUAUGAGUCAUAUGGUUUGGUUACGAGUUGUAGAGUGAGACUCAUGACCUGAAGAGAGAAUACCUUGAGGUACUUCUUUGAUUACAAGUUGGGUGAAAACUCGUAAAGAUACCCUUCGAGUCAUAUAGUGACCCAUUAUCACUGGCGAUAAUUUUUUAACUUUUAAUUAAGGGCAUUUGUAAAGUCCCACUUUCCCCAUUUAAGACCCACGACUAUAAAACACCUUUGGCGCAUUAUUUUUAUCAUUUAACAAAUCAAAACACUCCUUUUACUCUCUCAAAUCCCUAAGUCAAAGGACACCUAAGGUUUCUCAAAGCUGAUUAUCUAGAGUUUUCAAGGGUGAAUACCCUCCAUAAUUGUGAUACUUUCAGGCAUCUGACUCUACCCUUAAACUUGUUUUAUAUUAAAACAUGAAUUUAUAUGGUUAUUUAUGUGGCUUUGUCCCUAAGUUUUGAUAUGAGUUGAGGGCUUUGGCAUAAAUUAUUUUCCUAUGAUUUAUUAUGCAUUAUUUUUGCUUUAUUAGUGGUUUUGAACUUGUGGGAUGCAUGAGUAUGAUGAAUAAACUAAGGGGUCAUGCUUUCCCCCAAUUUGGUGAUUUUGUCUUGGCAUAUGAUUUUGGAAAUUGCAUUCCCUCAACCCAUUAAUAUUGAAAUAUGGUUUUGUCACAUGGUUUGACUUGUUUACUUAUGCUAUUGCAUGGCAUAAAAGGCUAAUGAACCAUAAAUUGAUUUUAUUAAACUUCGAGAAUUAUGUAUUCCCUGUAUGAAUGAAUAAUUGAACCUAGGGGGUCAUGGAUUCCCCCAUGUAAUGGAAAAUAGAUAUGAUAUGAUAAUGUUAACUUAAAAGUGAAGUUGGUAUGAUGAUACCAAUGGUAUACCUUAAUGAAUGAAUUGGUUCAAUGAAUGAGAAUAUGUGAAAAGUAUUUUAAUUGGGCUUAAAGGAGGUUGUGUAGCCGGGCCUUGAAAGUGGAGGUCCUGAGGGGCCGAUACUGAAAAUUGCAUUUGCCGACACAGGGGUCUAAGUAAUUGGGUGGUUCGAGUCCCUCUUAUUAAAUGAUCUGGUGGUUAGAGUCCUCCAUGUUAAAUGACUGGGUGCUUAAGUCACCCUUGAUAUGGGACCAGAAGCUUUGAGUCCACCAUGGUAAAUAUGUACAUAUGAUUAUUCUAUGGUUCAUGUGGCUACACAUACUAGGGCCCUUUCAGCUGAGGAAAGAUGAACCCAUAUAGCCCGUGGGUGCCUUCUUAUGAUGGUUGAGAUACACAAUCUAGGUAAGUGGUCAUCCCAACUUCUCUUGAAGUCAAUUGCACACGUCUUUAGUAUAUCUUUAAGAGUCUGAAUAGUCCUCUCUGCUUGACCAUCUGUCUAAGGAUGAAAUGCUGUGCUGAGAUGGACUUGGGUACCGAGACCCUUUUGGAAUGCUUUCCAAAAGUGAGAAGUGAACUGGGUACCUCUGUCUGAGAUGAUAGAUAGGGGAAAACCGUGUAAUCUGACUAACUCCUUAAUAUAGAGUUUGGCAUAAUCCUUGGUAGAAUAAGAAGUACGAACAAGAAGGAAAUGAGCUGCCUUGGUCAUUCUAUCUAUAAUGACCCAGACUGAAUCAUGCUGAUGAUGAGUUCUACGCAAACCCAUCACGAAGUCUGUAGUAACUUCUUCCCACUUCCAAGUAGGAAUGGUGAACUCUUGCAUGGAACCACUAGGUUUCUGAUGCUCUAUCUUAACCUACUAACAUGUAGACCACUUAGCCACAAACUUUACAAUAUCUCUCUUCAUCCCACUCCACCAAUAGAUCUCCCGCAUGUCGUGGUACAUCUUAGUGGCCCCUGGAUGAAUAGAGUAUUGCGCACCAUGCGCUUCUGUAAGUAUUUGCUGCCUUAAUUCAUCUACACCUGGAACACAUAGAAGACCCUGACAACGAAGAACACCAUCUCCCUCUUGGGAGAAAUCCUCGACUUUCUGAUUCUGAACUGACUCUUUGAGCUUGACAAGGCUAGGAUCCCUGUCUUGUUUAUCUUUCACCUCAGAAACUAGAGAUGACUCUGAACUACUAUGAACACAUACACCACCCUCUAAAGAAUUGACUAAGCGAACGCCUAGUCUGGCAAGCUAACGGAUCUCCUGAGCCAUCUUUUUCUUGCUAUCCUCAAUGUGAGAAAUACUACCCAUGGAGAGUCGAGUGAGAGCGUUGGCCACAAUAUUGGCCUUUCCCGGAUAAUAAAGAACACUCAUGUUAUAAUUCUUCAAGAGCUCUAACCACCUUCUCUGACGAAGAUUGGGAUCUUUCUGGGAAAAGACAUAUUGGAGGCUUUUAUGAUCUGUGAAGACAUCUACAUGAACUCCAUAGAGAUAAUGCCUCCAAAUAUUUAAGGCAAAAACUACCGCGGCUAACUCAAGAUCAUGAGUAGGAUAAUUCUUCUCAUAUGGCUUUAACUGUCUGGAGGCGUAGGCUAUGACCUUACCAUGCUGCAUGAGGACAUAACUUAAACCCACUCUGGAUGCAUCACAAUAGACUACAAAACCGUCUGAACCAUCAAGAGUAGCUAGAACUGGAGCGGAGAUGAGUCGAGUCUUCAACUCUUGAAAACUCUUCUCACAUGAAUCUGACCACUAAAACUUAAUCUUUUUCUGAGUCAAUCUGGACAUGGGAGAUGCAAUAGAAUAAAAUCCCUCGACAAACCAUCUGUAAUAGCCAACGAAACCCAAGAAACUCCUAAUAUCUGAUGGAGAUACGGGUCUGGGCCGGUUUCUUACUGCCUUGGUUUUUUGAGGAUCUACUCUAAUUCCAUCACUGAAAAUAAUAUGGCCAAGGAAUGCUACUGAUCUUAGCCAAAAUUCACACUUGCUAAACUUAGAGAAUAAUUGGUGAUCCCUGAGAGUCUAAAGAACAAUCCUGAGAUGGUCUGCAUGAUCACGCUCUGCGCGAGAAUAGACCAGAAUAUCAUCUAUGAAGACUUUGACAAAUAUGUCCAAGUUCUUCUUGAACACACGAUUCAUAAAAUCCAUAAAAGCUGCAGGGGCAUUGGUAAGACCACAUGACAUAACUAAAAAUUUGAAGUGACCAUACCGAGUACAGAAAGCUGUCUUCAAAAUGUCACAUUCUCUAAUUAUGAGCUGAUGAUAGCCUGAUCUGAGGUCUAUCUUAGAGAAGUAACUGGCACCCUGAAUUUGGUCGAAUAGAUCAUCAAUCCUGGGAAGAGGAUAUCUGUUCUUGACCGUGACCUUGUUGAGUUGAUGGUAAUCAAUACACAUCCUGAGAGAACCAUCUUUCUUGCGCACGAAUAAUACUGGCACACCUCAUGGGAAAAUGCUGGGUCUGAUGAAUCCCUUAUCUAAGAGAUCCUUCAACUGAUCUUUUAGUUCCUUGAGUUCUUCUGGUGCCAUUUUGUAUGGCAAAAUAAAAAUAGGUUGAGUAUUCGAAAGAAGGUCUAUGCCGAAGUCUAUUUCCCUUUUGGGAGGAAUGCUUGGAAGAUCUUUGAGAAAGAUAUCUGAGUAUUCAUUAACAAUAAGGACUGUUUUGAGGAUGGGAUAUUUAAAACUGGAAUCUUUAACAUGCACGAGAUGAUACACACACCCCUUAGAAAUCAUUUUCCUUGCCUGAAGGUAGGAAACAAGUUGACCCCUGAACGCUGAAAUGCUACCCUUCCACUCUAGGACGGGCUUAUUCGGGAACUGAAACUAAACUAUCCUGUUUCUACAGUCGACUGUGGCAUAGGGAAUGAAGCCAAUCCAUGCCGAGAAUGACAUCAAAAUCAGUCAUCUCUAACUUUAUUAAAUCUGUUGACAUAGGUUUUUGAGAUAUCAUAACUGGGCAGUUCCUGUAUACUCGCUGGGCUAUGAUGAUUUUACCCAUUAGGGUAGAGACUGAGAAGGGAUCUGCUAGGACUUUGGGACUAAUUCCAAAAUCGCCUGCUAUGUAUGGAGUAACAAAAUACAAAGAUGCACCUGGGUCUAGCAAAGCAUAAAUAUGAACAUGGAAAAUCUGUAAUGUACCAGUAACGACAUCAGGAGAAUUUUCCUGAUCCUGCUGGGACUGAAGAGCAUAGAGUCUAUUUGGGUGUUGCCCAUUGAUAGCACUAGAAAUAGUACCCUGCUGGUUCAGGCGACUGGACUGAGCUAUAGAAUAAUUUUGCUGACCCUGAAGGCUUGACUGCAGACACUCUCUAAUCCUGUGGCCUGGCUUGCAAAAACCAAAAUAGACAUCACUACCAGCUCUUCAAAUGGCCUUGUGGUUCCUACCAUAAGUCUGACAAAAGGGAUUGUUCGGGCACUACUAACAUUGCCCUGAGAUUUAGAUCUUGGUGCUUUGUUUUGAUUGCCGUCUCUAAACUUUGGCAUGUAGUGCUGGCAGAGAAAGGAGCUGGAAUGGCUGACUUGGAGCAAAAUUGUGAACGAUUUCCUCUAUCUGACUUGGGGUGAGCAAAGUUGGAAUUACCUAACCUUGCUCUCAUGUUCUGCCUCUCCCUAGUCUUAAACUUCUGCUCUUCUACUUACUGGGCAUGGGUCAUGAGUCUUGCUAAGGUCAUAUCACCGAUCAGCAUUGUAUACCUACACUCAUUUACUACGCUAUCGUUGACCCCUGACACAAACUUGCUCAUCUUAGCUUUAUUGUCUACAACCACAUGAGCAGCAUAUCUGGCUAGCUGAGUAAAUCUGAGAGAAUACUCCCUAACCAUCAUAUUCACCUGCCUGAGGUUGAUGAACUCAAGAACUUUGGCUUCCCUCAGCUCUUGGGGAAAGAAUCUGUCUAAGAAGGCCAUGGCAAAUUCCUCCCACUCGAUAGGGCCAGUAUCAUCUAACCUCUCAGACUUCCACUGUUUGUAACAAUCAUGAGCAACAUCCUGUAACUGGUAGACGAAUAACUCAGCACUCUCAAUAGAAGUAACACCCAUGAUGUCGAUAACCUUCUAGACUUAGUCAAUGAACUCCUGAGGGUCCUCAUCAAACUUAGACCCAUGGAAAGAUAGAGGGUUUAUCCGGGUGAAGUCCCAAACCCUAGCUGCUUUGGGAGUCCACUGGAUUGGCUGGAAUGACUGGUGGUCAUUCAUUUUGUGCAGCCAUAGACUGAUCAAGUAUGGUAAAUGCGGCUCUAAACUCUGCAUGGGAAACAUCUGCGCCCAAAGGAUCUUUGGGCUAAGUAGCUGGCUAGUUUCUUCUCUUUGGGUCCAUGGUCUAGAAUAAGAGAAGAAUGGAUUAGACUGAGAUUCUAACUUGUGAUUAUGCUCACUAGCAUGACAUGAAUAAUGAAGAAAGGGGACUGUUCCUAAAACAUCUUAUAGCCUCCCGCACAUAAAUGUAGCGCGCAAUACACCCAUGUACAAGACUCUACUAGAUGCGGCUUUUAGACUUCCUAGGACUCUAUUGAACCUUAGGCUCUGAUACCAAGUUUGUAACACCCCGAUUCGCUGAAAUGGAAUGCUACACAGUGCUCAUGACCCCGAGGGACCACAAGCUAACCCAUGACUGAUAUCUGUACCUAUAUACUACAAAUCAUGAUAUAAUAAUACGGAAUACAUAGAACUGUAAGGCCAUAAGGUUCAAUUGAAUAAAACCAUGUGGGUGAAAAUAUCCAAAACAACUCAAUCUAAACGUAAAUCUGAACAUAAAUCUAAAAGCCUCUAAACUAUCUGAAUAAGGAGUUGAAGGAACAUGUCUCCAACUAACUCCGUAAAAUUGAACUGAAAAAAUAAAUGUAUCAAAUCAUAUUAUCCUCAAAUCAAUGAGGACUCACUGUGUCUCUGCGACUGGAAUGCUACCGCUACUGCUGGGCUGGAGCUCGUGUCUCGAAACCUAUGGUGUAACAUAAAAAGAAAGCACCAUAGUGUAAAUGCGUCAGUACAACUGGAGUACUGAGUAUACAAGGAAGGUAGGCUGAACAAAAAGGGUUUCAUGCAUGAACAACACUGACUGACUAAUAUGAACGUGGGAGUGCAAACAUACAUAUAUAGAAACUAGGAUCGUGAAUACAUGAUAGCAUGACCUGUAAGCUAAUACACGAUUUACUGAUAACUGUCAUGACUGAUACUGAAACUGAUAACAUGGAUGACUGUAUUUGACAGUCCUGUCUAUACUGAAAUUUGAAGAAUGCCCUAAAUUAUUUUACUGAGACUAAUACUGAAACUAUGGGAAGUAGUGUUUAAUCGACAUGCCCCAUGUAUACCGUUAUGGCUAAGCUGGGGUCCAAUCUCUGCCCCAACUGGAGGGGUGUCAAUACCGUGCCACGGGUAAGGACAGCCUAUGAGUGAUCCUUAUCUGGUGGGUAUUCAAUGAGAAUGGUGGGAACGCUAAACUGAUGGGUUAAGCCACCUCAUCAACCCUAAUCUGACGGGUUAAGAUGUCUCAACCUACGCUGUCUACGUAGUUCUAGAACACAAAGAUACCACUAAGAAUCACACCCUGAACUGGCGGGUGAGUUCCCAUCCUUGGGUUCACUCGAUGCUAACUCGAUGCUAACCUCUAAUCCCAUAUGGAGGGACUGGACAUGAAUAACAUAUUGUGCAUAACUUAAUCUUACUGAAUUUUAUUAACUGGCGGAAUAUUACUGAUAUAUGACAACUAACUAAGAUCAUGAGGUUUUCCUAAGUCACAUGGCUGACUGAAGUCUAUGGAAUCAUAGCUUGAGUUCGGAUAUCAUGAAACAUGACAUGUAUCUAGGCACACAGUUAUAGUUUUGGGUACAAGUACCCCCAGGACUCGAUGGAAGAAAACUAACACACAUGACUGACUUGAUCAUAAGAGUAGAGUCCAUAAUUUAUAAUAUCAUAAGUAGGGAACUCAUACUAAGCAUGGUUAUCAACAAUGUAUAGCAUGGAAAGGAUUUCAUAUCACAUGGAAGUACUUGCANNNNNNNNNNNNNNNNNNNNNNNNNNNNNNNNNNNNNNNNNNNNNNNNNNNNNNNNNNNNNNNNNNNNNNNNNNNNNNNNNNNNNNNNNNNNNNNNNNNNNNNNNNNNNNNNNNNNNNNNNNNNNNNNNNNNNNNNNNNNNNNNNNNNNNNNNNNNNNNNNNNNNNNNNNNNNNNNNNNNNNNNNNNNNNNNNNNNNNNNNNNNNNNNNNNNNNNNNNNNNNNNNNNNNNNNNNNNNNNNNNNNNNNNNNNNNNNNNNNNNNNNNNNNNNNNNNNNNNNNNNNNNNNNNNNNNNNNNNNGAUUCCAUCUUGGGAAUCACCCAAUAUCAACAACAUGAUCAUCAACACCCAACAAUAUAGAAAUCAUACUUUAUAAUGAAAAAGAGGGUUUUUGAGCUUUAUGGAUAAAAGGGAUCCAUAAAUCAACUCACGCAUACCUUAGAAGGAAAGAUUCUUGAUGAUGGACGGAGGAAUUUUCUUGAAAUCGGAUCUUCAAGCUUAGUUACUCAACCCUAGUUGUUUUUAUCUUUUAGUGCUCUUGGAUGAUGAGCUUUGAGAUGAUAAUAGGGUUGUACUAUGUUUAGAAGCUAUAUAUUUCGUAGGGUUAAGUUUAGGGACGUGUAAGGAGUGUUGAAAGACUUAAUUACCCUUAAAAUAACUUAAAACGGAGUGUUUUUGGCACCUGGAAUUGACUUAGGUGGAGCCCAAGUGAUUACCUAAGCUAGGUUAGGCUGCACCUAACCAAUCGCCUAUGCUUGGGUUGGGCGGCGCCUAACCAAUCGCCUAUGCUUACUGUCUCUCACAAAAAUGGGCAUAACUUUUCGCUUGGGUAUUGGAUUAAGGCAAAAUUGGUAUCGUUGGAAAGAUAAUUUGAUUCUAUACAAUUUGGUUGGUCUAAAUCAGCGAAAAUACCAUAUUAACAUCAAUUUAAUCUCAUUCAAAUAUGACCCUUGCAAAAUCAAACACUAAAACUUGCUGGAUUCAAAAACUCUUAGCUUGUAUUACCUUAAGUGACUCAUAUGAACAUGCUUAAUGCAUCAUAAGCUAUCCUAUCACUAGGAUAUUCAUUGUAAAUCAUGUACUCAAGUAUGAAUCAUACGAUAGGAGAUUUCAUAUGUAGGAAUACUUAUUCACUUCCUAGCUUAGAAACAUGUAGGGUAUUACAACCAGUGAGUCUCUUCUUUUCCCAAUAUGGAUGACAUUUAGUGAUCACUUUAAGUUAAGGUUCUAUUCUAAUGUCAAGGUUAGUAUAGCUCUCCCCAACGUGGGUAAGAUAUUGGAGUCCAUGAUAGCUCACAUGGUUUAUGUCGGUUAUAAGAAUUUCCCACAAAAAAAAUAAAAGCAAAAGAUUUUAGAAACAAAGUGUUAAGACUCAUUAAGCUAUUUCUUUAUGCUAUUUUAUUCAUGUUUCUAUGAGUUUUUAGUUUUCAGCUGUAUUAUACUUAGCAUGCAUGAUUUGAAAGUAUACUUAGUACCUAUUUUACUUAUGCAUUCACCCCCAUAUACUUAGUACAUUCUAGAAAUAUAUAUCUAUGUGCUACAUUGUCUUAUAAUGUAGGUUUUGGUACUCGUUUCUAGUAGAACGAUUGAUCACGGGUAUCACCUCCUAUAUCUCGACAUAUUGUGAGUCCUCAUAGGUUGAGGACCCAACUUAUCAGACUCUUAGACUUUCAUGAAUGUUGUUUUAAUUAUUUGAUUUUAGUUUAUAUUCGGGUCAGCUGGGGUCUGUCCCAGUGACACUAUAGUUAGUAGUAGAGGCUUGUUAGACAAAUGCAUCUUUCAGUAAAAGAGAUUUAUUGAGACUUCUUAUUUGCAAGUUAAGAUUAAGACUUUAAGUCGUUUCCCUUCAGUAUUCAUAUGUAUGUCAGUACACUUUCCAUGUGAAUCCAAGAAGAUUAGGUAGUAUAAGUUAGCGUGGGGAUAUUCAUAGUCCUAGGCACCGUGUAAUGUCUAGGGAGUACUCUCGAGUCAUUAUAGUGACUCGUUGUCACUGGCGAUAAUUUUUUAGCUUUUAAUUGAGGGCAUGUUGGUAAAUUCCAUCUUUCCCCACUUAAGGACCACAACCAUAAAACACCUUUGAGGCAUUAUUUUCAUCAUUUAAGAAGUCAAAACACUCCAUUUACUCUCUCAAAUCCCUACAUCAAAGGACACCUAGGGUUUCUCAAAGUUGAUUGUCUAGACUUCCAAGGGCAAAUUCCCUUCAUAAUUAUGAUACUUUCAUGGAUGUGACUCUAUCCUUAAACUUGUUUUACAUUAAAUCAUGAAUUUAUAUAGUUAUUUAUGUGGAUUUAUCUGUAAUACCCCGUAAAAGUCUUUGUUAUGUGACCCCAUUUGUGGUUGUGCAUUUUGGUUUUGAUCCCGAGUGUAUUUUGAACCUUUUUUAUAUUUCUACCCUGGUGGGUGACUCUAUGGUUUCCAAAAGAGUCUAAAGGGGUUGUGUGGUAUCUGUGGGUGGUUGGGAGACUUUGGUGUAUCUGUCCGGAUUAGACAUGGUUGAUUUUGAUGUCAUACUAGGGAUGAAUUAGUUGCACUCGUGCUAUGCUUUUCUAGACUAUCGAACCUAUAAGGUCAUUUUUAAAUUUCCUAAUGAGCCAGUUAUUGAGUGGGAGGGUGGUUUCCCAGCUUAUAAAGGGAGUUCAUAUCAUAUCUUAAAGCUUGGAGAUUAAUUUCUAAAGGGUGUCUCUAUCAUUUGGUCUGGGUUAAAGAUUCUAACUCAAAGGGUCAUUCUUUAUAUUCUAUCCUGGUGGUUAAUGAAUUUCCUAAGGUCUUCCCUGAUGACCUUGCUAGUGUUCCUUCCGAUAGGGAGAUUAAUUUGGGGAUUGAUCUUGUUCUAGACACUCGUCCUAUCUCUAUUCCACUAUGUAUAAUGGGUCCAGCUGAGUUAAAGGAGCAACUAAAGUAUUUUUUCGACAAGGGUUUCAUCCAUCCUAGUGUGUAUCCAUGGGAUGCACCAGUUUUGUUCAUUUUUAAGAAGAAUGGUUCCCUGCGUAUGUGUAUUGACUAUCGGUAGUUGAAUAAGGUGACGGUAAAGAAUAAAUACCCUUUUCCAAGGAUAGAUGAUUUGUUUGAUUAGCUUCAGGGUGAUAAAUUUUUCUCCAAGAUUGAUCUUCGGUUUGGGUAUCAUCAACUAAAGAUUAGGGAGGUGGAUAUUUAUAAGACUGUUUUGCGUACCCGAUAUGGGCAUUUUGAGUUCUUGGUUAAGUCUUUUUGGUUGACCAAUUCCCCAGCGGCAUUCAUGUACUUGAUAAAUAGAGUCUUUUAUCAGUUUCUAGAUUUGUUCACCAGUGCAUUCAUAUAUGAUAUUCUGGUGUACUCUAAGAGCGAGGUGGAUUAUGUCGAUCACCUUCGCAUGGUGUUGCAGACCCUGAAAGAUUAGCAAUUAUAUGCCAAAUUUUUGAAAUGUGAAUUCUGGUUGAACCAUAUCACUUUUCUAGGUCAUGUUAUUUCUAGUGAUGGGAUUAUAGUGAAUCCACAGAAAUUUGCAGUGGUUAAGAAGUGCCCUAGACCCAUGACUCCAACCGCUAUCCAAAGCUUCUUAUGUUUAGCUAGUUACUAUAGGAGGUUUGUGGAAAGUUUUUUGACUAUAGCUACCCCGUUACUAAGUUGUCUUAGAAGAAGGUAAAGUUCUUGUAGUCUGAUGCUUGUGAGGGUAGUUUUGAGAAGUUGAAGGAUAAGAUAACUUCGGUGCCUGUCUUGUCUUUGCUUGGGAACUGAUGGUUUUGUAGUCUAUUUUGAUGCAUUCCACAUGGGGUUUGAUUGCGUCUUGAUCCAGCAUGAAAAGGUGAUAGUUUAUGCCUCUAGAUAAUUGAAGUUGUAUGAGAAAAAUUAUCCGACUCGUGACUUGGAGCUAUUGGCUGUGGUGUUCGCAUUGAAAAUCUGGUGUCACUAAUUGUAUGGAGUGCAUAUGGAUAUCUUUUAGAUCAUAAGAGCCUGCAAUAUGUGUUUACCCAGAAAGAGUUUAACCUCAGACAAAGGAGAUGACUUAAGCUGCUCAAGGACUAUGACAUGAGUCUUCACUACCAUCCAGGUAAAGCUAAUGUGAUUGCUGAUGCUCUUAGCAGGUUGUCCAUAGGGAGAAUAGCUCAUGUGGAUGAGAGAAAGCAAGAAUUAGUAAAAGAUGUUCACCGUUUGGCUAACCUUGGAGUUUGCCCAUUAAACUCUAAGAAUGGUGGUUUGUUUGUUUAGGAGGUGGAGAAUUCAUCCCCACGUGCUGAGGUAAAGGAGAAACAUGUGUUAGAUCCUAUCUUAAUGAGGAUCAAGAGUGAUAUAGUUGGAUAGAAAGAAAAGGGUUAUAUCAAGAAAUUGAGUUGCUUGUGUGGAAGUGGUAAGUGAUCAACAUGGAUUUCAUUACCAAAAUCCUUGCUCUCAAAAUCAGUUUGACUCGAUUUGGGUCAUUGUGGAUAGGAUGACAAAGUCUACUCACUUUUUUCUAGUAAGGACAAUUUUUUUGGCAGAGAAUUAUGCAAUGUUAUACCUCUAAGAGGUCGUGAAGUUGAAUGGAGUACCUAUUUUUAUUAUCUUGGAUCAUGGUGUGCAGUUUUCAUCGUACUUUUGGCGAUCGUUUUAGAAGGAUUUGGGGACUAAAGUGAGUCUUAGUACUGCUUUCCACUCGCAGUCGGAUGGACAAUUCAGAUAUUGAAGGAUUUGCUUAGAGCUUGCGUGAUUGACUAUGAUGGUAAUUGGGUUGAGCAUUUGCCUCUUAUAGAGUUUGCGUAUAAUAAUAGCUACCACUCUAACAUUGAGAUGGCUCCGUUUGAGGCCUUGUAUGGUAGGAGGUGCAUUUUUCCUAUUGGGUUGUUUGAGGUUAGUAAGGUGGAGAUGUUUGGCUCUAAUUUGAUUCACCAAGCUAUGAAAAAGGUGAGGGUGAUUCAGGAUUGGCUUAAGGAUGCCCAAAGUCGCCAGAUGUCCUAUGAAGAUGUGAGGAAUAAGAAGUUAGAGUUUGAAGUUAUGGAUUGGGUAUUCUUUAAGGUGUCUCCCAUGAAGGGAGUGAUGCAGUUUGGGAAGAAGGAGAAGCUCAGUCUCUGGUAUGUUGGUCCGUACUUAGUUUUGAGAAGGGUUGGCAAUGUUGCGUAUGAGUUGGAGUUGCCUUCUAGUUUGAGCUCCAUUCACCCAGUAUUCCUUGUGUUUAUGUUGAGGAAGUGGGUGGGUGAUCCACAACAAAUUGUGCCUAUCAAGGAUAUUGGUAUUUUGAAUUCCCUGUCUUAUGAGGAGGUCUCUGUUAAAAUCUUAGAUCGGCAGGUUCGUCGGUUGUGAACCAAGGACGUAGCUUCGAUAAAUAUUCUAUGGAGGAACCAUUAGGUGAAAAAUGCUACAUGGGAAACUGAAGAGGAUAUGAAGUCCAAGUAUCCAUUCGUAUUUCCCAUUCUGAAAAUCGUGCUUAAGGUAUGUAUUGUUCUCAACAUCUUUGUUUUCUGUCUUUGUUAAAGGUAGAUUAUGAAUUCCUUGGUAAUCUUUUUCUAUCUUAAAGGAAAGAGUAGAGAUGUUUGGGGGUUUAAUCGUGCUAGUCACUGCUUUGUCCCAUCAUUCAAGGAUGAAUGAUCCAAGUGGGGGAGAAUUGAAACACCCUGGGUUUUGGCCCUUGGAAAUUUCCCAAGCUUUAAGCUCACUUUCCUAUAAUGACUCAUCAUACGAGUCAUAUAGUAUGGGUAUGGGUCAGGUGACCUUAGUCAUUAGGUAACCAGUGAGUGGUGGUUGGGUUUUGGUCUUGGUAAAGACUUGGUGGUAUGAUUCAUUAGGGUUGGUGACAGAUCGUUAGGAUGAUACUUAACCAAAUCAGUAACUUAGUAACUUGACUUAGCUUUGAGUACAAGUGGCUCACUAAGAGCUGCGAGGAUAGGUUAUGAGUGGUAGGGUUAAGUCGUAUGUUGUUAGUGUCCAAUCCCAUUGAUUUUGUCUUGGAUACGACUAGAGUCUUGACGCGUGACCACAAUAUAUGACUCCUUGACUUGUACAGAUGUAGGGUUGUAGCCCGUGGGUGGUUUUAGGAUGGACAAUCUAUACAACCAAGGUUAAGGAUUUAAAUGCAUGCUAAACCUUGUUUUGUAUCCCGACAUGAUAUAUAUACAUGUGAUUUCAUAUGGUUAUUUGACUUGGUUUUGAAUGAUGGCAUUAUUUUAUCUUUAUCCUUGAGUUAUAUGCUAGCGUUCACUCUGCUAAUCGGCUUUAGGCACUGUAUCCCCACGCGAUGCAAGAACCAAUCAUACUAUCAUUCCUCCUGCUUAGUGACUUGGAUUCGGAGACGACUUUGAUUCGGACUGAAGUGGUGAUCUUUCAUACUCUGAAAGACUCCAUUUCAUGCUAUGGAAUUCUUUUCAUUAUUGUUAUUUCUUUGGUUUUGGUUUCGGCUAUGGUCGGGGGCAUGUCAUGGCCGGAUACUCUUUGUUUCUAGUUAGAGGCUUUAUCGGACUACUAUAGACAUGGGCAGUGUCGGUAUUAGUGUUAGCAUUGGGAUUGGAAAUGGAUGGUUGAUUGGUUUUGGUUUUCAAUUUUGGUUUUAAGCUUACUUUAUUGUCUUUAGAUUAUUAUUGCUCUAUCUUGUUAGUAUGGUCAAUGAUGGGGUAUUGGGGGUGGUCUCCAAUAUUGAUUGGACUUGAGACACCCGACACGACUAGGCCCUAGUUCGGGUUGUGUCACACACCAAGCCACAUAAUAAACGUUUCAAGAUAUAUAAUGAAUGUACAAAAUUCUACCAAAACUGGUUCAAGUCUUGGCUUAAGGAGGGUCGAAAGCUCACUUCUAAUCCCCGAAACUCAUUAUAAGGUAAACUCUGCCCCAAACUAGGCUAAGGUAUCUAGAUCCACUUUUAGAUAGUAAACAAGCCUUGAUUAGCCCUAAGAUAGAAAUUCUACUAAGGAUUUAGGAAACUAAGCCAAAUACACCUAAAUUAUGAUUUUUGGAUAGCCUAAGAGGUCCAACUAACCCAAGUAUUGUAAAUUUUGUUAUUAACCCCUAGAACUCAUCCCAAAUCUAACAUAAUAUCAUAAGCCUACUAUGACAUAGCUGAAUCUAUGAAGAAGGGAAAACCUAACCUACCUGGACGCCAAAGAGAGCUCAAAGGAUCUGCUAAAUCACUGAUUUUCCUUCCGAGAAGCUUCUGCAAGGUGCCACGCUAUCAACAUACAAUCUACUCAUUAAAAUGAGAACAAUGAUACCCAUAUUGCACUUUGCUUCAGGUCUAAAACUACGCAAAAAUCCCAUGUGGCUCUUAUUUAUGAAAAUCGCAUUUUCGAAAUCAAAUCAACAUCGCCAUAUGUUCAAAGAGUAAUUACCCCUAAAAAAUGGGUGAAUUUCAAGCUAUAUUGGUUCUAAAAUAAAGUCACCAAUGUUUAGGUAAUUUAGAUGGAGAAAAUGGAAAAUCAACCAUGAAAAUAAAGGAGUCUUACCGCAAAUUUGAAGGAAAAUUGCAAAAUAAAUCUUUAUUCAUGCUCCCAAAAUCACCCACAAUGCUAUUUCUAAGCUAUCCCACUCCUUAGUGUUUAGAACUCUUGAGAAUUGAUGAUAAAUGGGAUAAAAGGGGCUAAAAGGGGGUAUUUAUACCCCUCACAGGUACACGGGAGUCACGCUCGUGGUAUGGCAUUCGGAAUAGUGAUACCAAGCCAAAAUAUAGAAGUCACGUUUGCGACAAAGGAUAUUUCUUUCACGAUACCUAUCCGUUGCCAUAGGGAGUCACUUUCACAACAUAGGUGUAAUACCCCGUACUUUACUUAGUCUCGUUUAACUCCUAGAAUGUCAAGGGUUAGCUUUGAAAAUGAAUAAAUCUUGAUACAUAUAGAAUUUUCAAGCUCUAGACCCACCAAUGUGUAGAUAAUUGGCUCAUAUUUCCAACGAUACCAAUUUCGCCUUAAUCCGAUACUCGGUUGAGAAGUUAUGGCAUUUUUAGUAAAAUAGUAUGGCAUUUCGACAGGCACUGCACCACGGUGAAGGACAAAAUUGCAAUUUUCUGAUUCUAGUGAGGCACCACGAUUGGCCCGUGGUCCCAAUUCCCGUUUGUCAAUUUCCAGGCACUCACUGCGAUGGUACUGGAUUGCGGUGAUGGCCUAAAUGGCAUUUUUCAAUUUCCAGUGGCUUACUGUGAUAUCCCCGCACGUGGUGAAGUUCCAGUUUGCAAUAGUCCCUUUUCCAGUAAGCCACUGCGAUAGUGGCGCGUCGUGGUGGUGCCCAAAAUCGGGAUCUCCAAUUUCUGAAGUUGAUUUUAAAAGUGUAGUUUAGUCUUUUCCCAAGCCCCCAAUUCGUGAAUAACACUGAAUUAAUCCUAUUCCAACCAUUAUAUGCUCAUUUUUCAUCAACUUCCUCUCAAAGAAACCCUAGAACAUCAAAACUUAAUUCCCAAGAAAUCCAAAAUUCCAACAUUCUUUCUCCAAGGAAGCUCAAAAUUAAGGAUUCCAAUUCAAGAACUUCAAGAAUCUAACUUCAAGAGCACAAAUAGGGAUUCAACAUUCGAAUAUCAUUUAAUCAUCAAUUAAGGUAUGUGGGGUUUUGAAAAAGGAUAAAUCUUUCAUCCUUGUGCCCAAAACUAGUUUUUAAUUAUAAAUUUACAUGAUUUUGUAUGAAUAUACAUGAUUUUUAAAUUAGGGUUCAUACCCAUUAUUGUUAUUUGUAAGAUUAUGAGAUUUCAAGUGAUUUAGAAGUUGAAUUGCAGGCGUAUUUUUGUAUUUUUAUACGUAUUACAGUAAAUUCCAGAUUUUGAGUUGAAUUAUCAAUAUUUAUAUUAUCAAGCAUUAACAUUAUGAUGUUUUAACAGGAAUUUGAUGCAUGAAUCAUUAAGACCUAAUUGGAUAUUGCUAUUUCAAGAUUGAUUGUGCUAUGAGCACCCUUUGACUAGAUUGUUUUCAAAUUUUUGAUACAUAUUUGAUCUUUUGAUCUCAGCUUAGAUAUGUAAUCCACUUUAUAGUUUCAAAUAACAGUUUAACUUAACAAAUAUACAGUUGGUUUUCGUAAUAAACCAUUAUACUAGAUUUUAAAGUGUAUUUUCAACAGAAUGAGCAUAUAGAUUAAAGGGAGUAGUAUUUAGCACCGAGUUGGGUAUGUUCUCAUGCCCCAGAACUACGAGCCAAUAUAGGUUCAGAUUAUCAGAUUAAUCCAAUUUCUAUAUGGAUGACAGAUACAGAUGUGAUCACUUAGGUUAGGUUAUACUCCUUGGCAAGAGUAUGACACCUCUCCCUAAUGUGAGGUUUUUUCAUAAGGGAACUAGACGUUAGACUCCAUGAUAGCUCACAUGAUUUAUGUCGGUUAGAAGUACCUCCCUACAAAAAAGAGUAACCUUACAGAAAGUUUUUAAAAGUGUUUCCCUAAUAGUAAAAGUAAAUAAAUAGCUUUUGAGUGAAUUUUCCUAUAGCUUACAGAAAAGAGGAAACAAUAACAGAAAAACUUUUAGAAACUAAGUGUAAAGGCUCAUAGUUUUAUUUAGACAUUGCUCUAUAUAAGCCUUUAGCUACAUAUUUUAGCUUUCAGAUUUCUGAUAUGAAAGUGAGUCCUUUCUACACUUGACAACAUGAUUUAUAGACAGAACACUAGUACAACUUUUAGCACUAAAUGAUAUGACUCAAUAGAUUUAUAAAGCAUGUUUUUCUAUUCAUGAUUAGGAUUUUUAGUUUUCAGAUAUUCUAGCUUAUGUGAGUCAUUUACAUUUAGCAUGCAUUCUUUUACAAAUUUAUAAUAAUAUUGAGAUAUUGAUUUACUUGUGCAUUCACCCUCAUAUACUCAGUAUAAUCCAGAAGUACUGAUCCACAUGUACGUAUAUGUGCUACAUUAUCUAAUAAUGUAGGUACCAGUUCAAUUGUAGUCCAUAUACCACGAUCAGACAGUUGUAGACUCCAGCCAGUGGAUGAUGAGUCCUUCUACUUCGGGAACUUCAGUUAGCUAUUAUUUAUGUACUUUACUUUCUUACUCAUAUGUAUUGAUUAGUGGUAGUUGGAUUCAUGUCCCAGCUAUCUAUAAUCAGUAUAGUAGAGGCUUCACAGAUGUCAGUCAUAGUCAGUUAUGUAAUUUCAAGUCUACUCUUCAGUUUUAUCAAAAAUGUUAAAUUGUACUAGUAUUGUAUUUUUCUCAGAUUUCAUCAUGAUUAUAUUUCUGCACAGUAAACUCAGUCAUUUUAUACAGAUUUAGAUUAGUUACUUAACAGUAUACCGGUACAAGAGUUAGCUUGGAACCACUUGCGAUCUUAAGCACCGUGUGAUGACUAGGGGGUAGUCUCGGGUAGUUAUAAUAGGUGUCACAUUCCCAUUAUUCAUUGAUGGUGUACAUAUUGCUAUCACUAUCGGUGACUCAUGGAUGCGAGUGCACCAACACCAGUUGAGACUUGGAAAUUUCCAACUCUCCACCAACCCCUCGGGAUUCAUUCAGAAUCUUGGAUAUGCAAAUAGCCUAUGCUACCCCAUCAAAUUCGACUUUCUAAAAUCAAUGGUGUAGUCAAAAUUUCCAUUCUAGGUUGUUUCAAUAAAAAGUGGAUCCCAUACCUAAUUUACCAUUUUCUUAACUUCCAACCAAUAACUAAAAAUGAGCCCAGGCACCUCGAGAUCCGACCUAAAGUUCCACCUAGCCUAAAAAUAAUAUUUCGAAGCUAUUGAAAUAAUUAAAAUUGGCAUACAAGGUUGUUUGGUUGAAAUUUUUGUCCGAUAGUCAAUUUGAACCACUAGAGACUCCAAAAAAGAGAAUUGCCUCUAAAAAGAAAAUGAACUGCCCAAUAACUGAGCUGUCAGUUCUAGUAAGUCAUAAAUGACUUGGGGAAGCUAUAGUAUAAGACCCCACAAAGUUCCCUCAUAGUCUGAACCUUAGAGCGUGUCAAGCAAAGCAUAAUUUUGGUCCUAAAAGAUUGAGAAGUGACUUCCUAAGUGAUUGGUGUUUCAAUCAUAUAGAAUUUUCUUAAAUUUGACUUUUUUCAUGUAGAGAAUUGAAUUAGCUUUCCAAUGAUACCAAUUUCAUCCAAAUCCGAUAUCGGGGUGAGAAGUUAUGAUCGUUUUACUGAGAGUUGUCGGAACCGCUCGGGUGCCACGGACGAUCUGACGGACCGUUGAGUCUAGGACUGACCGUCGCUUGGCCCAUUGCAACCAAGGCAGUAACUCCCUUUUUUGGACCAAGUGCAAAAACCAAAAUGACGGACCGUCAAGGCUGCGACGGACCGUCGCUGGGACCGUCGCGCUCAGGCAGUGUGUCCUUAUACUGGCCAAUGUGUGACGGAUGAUCCGACACACUAUUAGGCUGAGUGAAGGACCAUUGCUUCGACCGUUACACCAAGGCAGUAUGUUCUUUUUUUGACCAGUUUGUGACGGACGACCCGACGGACCGUCAGUCUAGCGACGGACCAUCGCUUCGACCGUCGCAGCCCCCGUUCAGUAUUUUUAAGUCCUUUUUAAAAGGGCCUUUUGGGUCUUUUCCCUUUUAACCCUCAGAUAUAUUCCAAAAAAACUUGAUUACCUUAUUAUCUCCUAAAAUAUCCAAAGGCUAGGGUUUCUCUCUCUAGAACAAAUCUAAAACCCUUCUCCAAGAAAUCCAAGAACUCACCAUAGAUUCUACAAAUUGAGUUGAGAUUUGAGUUCCCCAAGUUCAAAGGUUGCAAGAACUCUCUCUCAAGAGUAAGAAGAAGAGUUUAGUGCAAGCUCAUUCAUCCAAUUUCAUAAUCCAAGGUAUGUGGGGUUUUGAACAAGGGUAAUCCUUUCAUCCUUGUGCUCAAAGGCUUAUUUAAACUAUGAUUUUCUGCAAUCUAUGAGAUUUUACAUGAAUUUGAAUUAGGGUUUUUCACCCAUUUUUAUUGAUUGUAAUAUUUUGAUGUUUCCCAUGAAUUGAGAGUCUAAUGGCAUGAUUUUCACAUGUUUUCUUGAGAAAUUGCAGCUGGGUCUAUACCCCAUGAUUUUAAUCCUUGAGAAAUUAAUAGUUGAAAUAUUUGAGAUAUUAAAGUAUAUGAGUAUGUUGAGAUUUUAAGACAAAUUGCUGAAAUUUCAAGAUUUCUACAUGAGUUAUAAAUCUAUAUGCUAGCUAUUAUGCUUUUGAUGAGUUCUAACUUGAGAUUGAAUUAUGGGUUACUAAGCCCUACUUGAGACUUGAGAUUUUAUGAACUAUUGUGCUAUAGGCACCCAUGAUUUGAGUAUUCUGAGAUUNNNNNNNNNNNNNNNNNNNNNNNNNNNNNNNNNNNNNNNNNNNNNNNNNNNNNNNNNNNNNNNNNNNNNNNNNNNNNNNNNNNNNNNNNNNUAUUGAGCCAUGAGAUUAUUCUAAAGUGGAUUUUCAUGAGAUGAGCAAGAUAAACUAAAGGGAGUAGUAUUUAGCACCAAGUUAGGUAAGUUACCACGAUUUCUUACCCCAGAACUAUGUGCCACCAUAGGUUAGGCCUAAGGCUGAGAUGAUUGUUGGGUCAAAGGCUGAGAUAUUGGGCUCGAGGCUGAGAUAAGUGAUCAUUGAGUUGAGGUUAUACUUCUCAGCAAGAGUAUGACGCCUCUCCCCAACGUGAGGUCUCUUCCUUAGGAGGACAAAAUGUUGGACUCCAUGUAGCUCGCAUGGUUUAUGUCGGUUAAGAGAAACUCCCUUGAUACAAGUUAUUUUCCUAAUAGUAAAGUAGUGGAUUUGCUCCCUAAGACCAAAGUAUUUUCCCUUGAUAUAAGUAUUUUCUCUAAAACUAUGAGAUAAGUUAUCUCCCUAAACUAGAGUAUCUUUCCAUUAAGAUAGAAUGAUUUCCCAAAAGAUUGAAGUGAGAUAUUUUCCUAAAGUGAAUGAAAUGCCUUCAAGUACGUUUCAAAGUUAUAUGAUUCUGAAUUCCAAGUACUUGAGUUCAAAAGAGUUAUAAGUUCUUGAGCAUUAAAUAAGUUUUACUCUCCAUGGGACAUAUGAAUGAGUUGAAAGUAUUGUUUAAAGUUUCCUUUAGCCUAUGGGUAAUGAGAAUAAGAGAAGAUUACAGAUUUUAAAGUUAAACUAUGAUGACUCACGAAAUUUGUGUUACAUGCUCCAUGUUUAUAUUUUAUACUUAUUCAAGCCAUGUGAGUCAUUACUUAUUGCAUACAUGAUUUGAUUAAAGAGUAUUGAUGUUGUUUUCUAUAAAUGCAUGCACCCCCACAUACUCAGUACAUUCCCAAGUGUUGAUCCAUAUAUACGUCUAUGUGCUACAUUGUCUUAUAAUGUAGGUUCAGGUGCACAAUCCCAGCCUCGUCAGUGACUUUCGAGUACCUCUGUCUACAUACCUACAGUGGUGAGUCCUCAUGGUUCGAGGACCUAUCGUCAUACAUUUUAGCAUUUGAGAGACUAUGUUACUUCUCUCAGUUCAUUUCGAGUCAGUUGGGGACCUGUCCCAAUGACUCUCUAGUUCAUGGAUUAAUAGAGGCUUUAUCAGACUAGUUAUCAGAUUAUGGUUGUGUUGAGGUUUUCCGGUAUUGCUUGGUCAUUUGGACCGAGCAUUUUCUCCGUAUUUCCUUUCAUAUGAUAUGACUAUGCUAGUGUUUGAAUUAUUUCAUCUUGAAAUGAGUGUUAUUAGUAGAAAUAGGCUCAAAGGGUUAGCUUGCGGCUACUUGUAGCCUUAAGCACCGUGUGACAUUCCGGGAGGUGAUUUUGGGUCGUUACAUAUAGGAAAGCUCUAACAGCAAAAAAAAGCAAAAAUACUGAAAAUAACCUAAAGGGUCAUUAUAAUAUCUACUACUAAAAGAACUUUCGUCCGCGAAAGUAAUGGAUUAGGAUGUACUGAUGUAUGAGCCAAUGCUAACAUAUUUGAGGCUUUUAACUAAGAAUAAUUGUGAAGUCUUAAGUAACUUUUGUCACUUUUGAUUGUUUUAUAUUUGAUUUUGCAGAAGAAGCUAAUAUGUUAGAGAACCAACAAGAAUGGAAGCAAAUGAGUUAAAAUCUGAAGUAAAUAGAGGCAAAGUGUGGCUGACGAUAUUUGUGAUAAGUCUUCAUCCCAGUGAUAAGCUAUCAGCUUCAUCAUCAGCAGUAGAUAGAGAAUUGGCCUAAGUUGAAAGCUGUGAUGAUAUUUUGUGAUAAGACGUCAAGGAACUGAUAAGUCGUUAAGAUUGCCGUAAGCCUAAGGUAGAACAAGAGAGCCGAGGAAAAGCCUUGACGACAUUUGUGAUAGGUCGUCAAGGAGAUGAUAGGGCAUCACUAUUUGUCGUCAGCAUUAGGCAGCGAGUACCAAAAGCAUAAAGGAAGCUGAUAACUUUUGUGAUAAGUCGUCAGCCUCCUGAUAGGGAAUCACAAAUUGCGUCACCUAAUCCGAGGAAUUUCUAAAGUAUAUUAUUUUGUUUCCAUAAUUAGGGUGAACUAUUUAAAGCCUUGUUUAGGGUUUUCUUAAGAGUUCCAAACCUUGAGUUUUGAGACACGAUACUUUGAUAUUUUUCUCCCUCUUCUUUUGUCUUGAGAAAACAAUUACUUUAAAGAGACUAUCAUCAUUAUUUUGGGAUUUUCUUUGGUGAUUUAAUCUGAGAAUCUCUAAUUUCUAUUUAUCUUGUGGUAAGUUUAUCUUUCAAAGCAUGAAUUCAUCUAGUUGCUUUGAUUAUUACGUCAUGAGCAACUAAAUUCCUUUAACCUAAAUUAUGGGAUCUAAGGGUAGGUCUUGAUAAGGUGUUGAGUGUUCAAGAUUCGAAAGGUGGUAGGACUCCUUGAUAAUUCUGAUGUUUUAAUUAUUAUCUGUUGGUUGCAAAUGAUAGAUAACACCUUCUUUGAUUUGUGUGAGAAAGAAAUCAAAUAUAGUGGGAAGUGAAUUAUCAACAGGGACUUGGAAAUACUAAACUUCCAUUUAAUAAUCAAUGCUGUAACAAGGUUGGUUAACUUGAGGUAAAAUCUGGGCAGUGAAUAUAAAUUCCCUAAGUUUGAGAGGAUUAGGUAAUUAAAUGCUUAAGUAGGUCGAGAGACAUUUAAGCAUAACUUCGGUAAAGAUAACUUGCUGUCCUACCUACCGUGAGAAUCUUGAACCACUAGUACCAUCUGUCAAGUACCAAAAUCCCUAGUGAAUAAAAUUCUAUUUUUUCAUAGACUCUUGAUUACAAACAUUUAAACUAAAGUGACCAACAAUUACUUGUUAACUAAAACCCCCCUUUUUUGGAAAUAUCCAACUAUUAGUUGAUUAAAUUGCAAAUGACUUACGUUCACACCAUAUUCCCUAUGGGAUUCAACCCCAACCUAGUUGGGUUUUAUAUUGACAACGAUUUCUUACAUUUUCGUUGAGAGGUGUAGUUUGAGCGUUAUAAAAAAUAGUGCCGUUACUGGGGAAUACGAUUGAAAACUAAAGUUUAUGUGCGCUAAUUGACUGUUAGUCAAGUUUUUUAGUUUUAUGUUUAUUUGUUGUUUUUGUUUAUUUACAGGAUCUUUAUAGUGUAUGCCAAGAACUAGAAGUUCCAAAGAACCGUUAUUACCACCUAAUCCGGAACCACAACGAAUUGGAAGAAUGGCUGAACAGCAAGAGGCUGAUAGAUUGGCAGCCAUAGCUAGAGCUCAGGUGAAUAUGCAAAAUGUUGGGCAACAAGCAUGACAUCCAAAUCUUGAAGAAGAAGAUUUAGGAGACGAGGAGUUGCUGAAUCCUGGUAACCCAAGGCGUGCAGAGUAAAUAGCUGCACUAGUACGACAUAAUGUUAAUUGGAAUCGUUCUUUUUGAGAAAGGAAAGAGUACCAGCUGGUCCAGUAUGAUCUCAAUGAUGAUGAUGAUGGAAUGGACGGAGCAGGUGCAACGGGUGUAAUUAUUCCUCCACCGUUGGCACCUGGGGUAAAAUUCAACAUUACGAGUACUAUGAUUCAACUCCUAAAUCUGAAGGGGUUGAUUGGUGGCCUUCCUGGGGAUGACCUGAACUUGUAUCUGGUGAAUUUUGUCACCAUCUGCAAAUCUUUUGAUAACCGAAGAGUGGAUAAAAUUCUAUCGGGUUGAGAUUGUUUCCGUUGUCUCUGUCUGGGGAGGCAACAUAAUGGCUAAAUAAACUGACACCCGAUUUAAUAACUAACUGGAGACAGUUGAAAGGAGCUUUCCUAGAAAAGUUCUUUCUGCCAUCCAGGAGGGUACAGUUGAGGAACGAGAUCAACAACUUUAGGCAUCUCCCGACUGAAGCCUUGUAUGAAACCAAGAAAAGAUUCAAGAAGACGCUGCACAGUGUCUGAACCAGAACAUGACGGACAUACAUUUGAUGGAGACUUUGUACAGGGCUCUUAACUCCGUUACAAAGCCAAUUGUAGACAAUGCUGGUGGUGGUUCGUUAGUUGAUCUUACAUUCCCAGAGGCUUUAGAGAUGCUGGACAGAAUGACCAAACAGAGUAGGGCAUGGCAUACCAGAGACUAUGUGGUGGCCAGCCCUACUGCUUCUUUAGGUAUUACUAUAGAACAACGCAAAAGAGAAGAGGAGAGUGACCAAGACAUGACUUACCUUAAAACACAGAUGGAAUUACUAAUCAAGCACUUGCUAUCAGGAAAGAUUGAAAAGGUGAAAGCUGUGGGAUCUUAGGAUAGAAGUGAGGCUGAUACAGAUGAAGAGGCUAACUAUGUUAAUAAUCAGGGGGUUUUCGAGGCAAUAGCCAAGGGAAUCAAAGUCGGACUUACUAUGAUAAGCCUAGUUAUAAAGAUAGGGAGCAAGGAAAUUGGAGGAAUAACAAUGACUGGAGCGGGCUAUACGUUCCUCCUGGAAAUUAUGAGGCUGCUUUAACAAGUUCUGAAAAGAUGUCCAUGGAGGACAUGAUGGCUAAGUUGUUGAAGGGAGUAAAGGCUACCAACUCUGGUGUGACCAUCAUAAAGGCCAAUCUGACAUCCACCAGUCAGUUGGUGCACUCACACUCCACCACAAUCAAACAAUCGAAGCAGCAGAUGAGCCAACUCUCUGCGGCAUUCAACCAGAGGAAGAGUGGAACGUUACCAAGUGAUACGGUCCCAAAUCUGCGAAAUGAUGGCUCAUGCAUAGCUAUUACCACUAAAAGUGGUAAGAUAUUACCUGGCCCUUCUGUGGGCAAACCUUUAGUUGAUAAGGUAAUUGAUGUUGAACCGGAAGAAAGUAGUCCAGUGGAGUCUGAGAAGCUGGAUAAUUCUGAUGAUGUUCUAGAAAAAGGAAAAGAGAAGGAGAAGGAGGUAGUGUUGAAAACUAUCCUAAGACCACCACCUCCCUUUCCUCAACGAUUGAAGAAGAAAACUGAUGGUGCAAAAUUCAGCAAAUUCAUGGCAAUGCUCAAGCAAUUAACAAUAAAUGUGCCUUUGGUUGAGUCACUUGAGCAAAUACCAGGAUACAUGAAGUUCAUGAAAGACCUUGUGACUAAGAAAUGGAAGGUUAGCCAUGAGCCAGAGGACAAUCUCUUUCAUUGUGGCGCUAUCUCUACAAGGUUUUUAGUGCAGAAAAAGGCAGAUCCGGGAGUGUUUACCAUCCCGUGUACUAUUGGGUCCUUAAAUUUCACAACAACACUAUGCAAUUUUUGAGCCAGUAUAAACCUAAUGCCACUCUUUAUGUAUAAAAAACUAGGUUUGGGGGACCCUGCCUCGAUGAACAUGCGAUUGGUGAUGGUAGAUAGGUCUGUAAAACGGCCAGUGGGUAUAUUACACGAUGUAUUGGUAAAGGUGGCCGACUUCAUUCUUCCUGCUAAUUUUGUAGUCCUGGACUGUGAGGUGGACUUCAAAGUGCCAUUAUUUUGGGUAGAACAUUCUUUGCAACUGGGAGAGUGAUAGUGGAUAUAGAACUGAAUGAGCUAAAGUUCAGGUUCAAUGACAAGGAAGCAAGAUUCAAAAUACACUCAUCCAUGACACCGGUAAAAGAGAUAAAUAUUUUAUCAAUCGUGGACGUAUUCUGAGUAGUCAAGAUAACCAAGUCGUGCCACGACAGUAAAUUAGGCGCUAUUUGGAGGCAACCCAAAAAUUUUAUAUUCCAGCAAAUUUUUUAUUUUUGUAGUUAUGUUCUAGUUCAAAGAAGGUGGAAUCGAUAUAUCCAGCCAAGUGCUCCUGACGACAUUUUUGACGGGCUGUUAUAAUUGUGAUAAGCCAUCAGCUUUGUCGUCAAAAACAACAGCUCUGAGGCAAUUUCGGUUAAGGCUGAUGACAUUUCUGAUAAGCUAUCAAAAUUGUGACGACUUAUCAGAAAUGUCAUCACAAAAAGCUCAACAUUAGCUGAAACUUUGGGCCAAAUUAAAAAGACCUGAUCCGGCCUACAACUUGGCCUUUCCACCUUCCCGCUUAGUUUUUAUUUUCUUUAAGUUAUUCUCUUUCCAUCUUUGGUUUAUUUUCUUCCCUUUUCAAAGUCUCUCCAGCUAAAACAAAAGAAACUUUCCUUGUAUGCAUGGGUUUGCAAUCAAAAUCAAGAACCUCUCUUUAUUUCCUUUUGCUCGUGUAACCACAUUGAAGGCUCCCAUCAGGUAUGCUCGAAACCUAGCCUUACUUUUCAAGUGGUAAGUUAUAAAUGAUGAAAACCCAAGUUCCUAAGAAGCUUGAACCAAGUUCAGCUUGCAAAAAUGGCUAAAAAUCAGAACUAGGGUUUGCUGUGCAAGAUUAAGGUUUAAAAGUUCAGCUCGAAAACAAAAAUUGAGUGGAUUUUAAGAAAAAAAUGGGACCAAAAAUUGAGUUAAAAUCAAGUUGGGGUUCUGUUUAUAGCUGAUGACAUUCGUGAUAAGCUAUCACAACUGUGACGGCUUGUCAAAAAUAUCGUCAGAAGUCGAUAAGAAUUUUGUGGGUUCUGUUUAGGGCUGACAACAUUCAUGAUAAGCUAUCACAGCUGUGACGGCUUAUCAGAAAUGUCGUCACACCUGGGACCUGAAGUAUUACUAAACCCUUUCAAGGGGUGUGGAAUUUCAAUGAUCAAUGUGUUUGUGUUUAUACUCUUGAGGGUCAACUAAUGGUUUUUGUCUUGCUACAGUUCUUGAAAUGGUACCCAAUGGAAAGAACUUAAAAUCCAAAAAGAAAGUGACCAAGGGAAGUGUACCUCGGAGACUCUUUAAUGAAGAGUUUGAUUAUGAAGAGGAAGAGCCUCUACUCAAGAAGCAAAAGAAAAACAAAAGCACUAAAAAGACUCCAUCAUCCCCCACAAGUAGAGGUGGAAGAGAGUGAAGAAAGUAACACUAAGCUAACAACUUCUGAGCAGACGGUCUCUGAGCAAUAAGAGUCUAACCAUGCUGAAUCUGAAGAGCACGAAUCAGAUAAUCCUGAUUCUGAGGGGCAUGAGUCUGAGGGACCAUCAACUGAGUUCUCUUCUUCUGCUGAGCCACAAGAUGAUGAAGACUCUCUGAUUUAGGAAACUAUGGUCAAAUGCAAGAAUCCUGAAGUUCGAGAUGGCACUAGAUGGCUGAUUCCCAAAGCUCAAAAAAUCUUCUUGAUGGGCUUCACAAAACCAACAGAAGAGCUGUCAAGAGGCCAAUCUUUGAGGAGAAGAGAAUCAUCACUAAGGGGUUGAGCAGGUACCCAGAGGUGGAGUAGAAAUUUCAUGGAUAUGAUUCGGUAUGGACUACACGAGGAGGAAAUUCAUUUUUCCCUACACUAGUUAGGGAGUUCUAUGCAAACUACCAAGCUUACUUGGAAAACAUGUCUAGAUAAGGAGAGAAAGCUUCUGACCAACCUUUGUUUGAUAAAGUUUUGGUACGGGGUAUAAUGGUCGAUAUUUCUGAAGAAAUAAUCAAUAGGUUCUUUCAUGGCCCGAACUUCACUCCUCAGGCUACUUCACCUACUUUCUAUGCCCGGUUGAAGCAUCGGAAAAAUCAGCGAAAUUGGUUGGUUAGCUACACUCAUAGCUGAUGGAGAACUGGAGUGGCUAACAAAUCUGAGUGAAAGGAUCUUUAAGGCUUCCUUGACUUUAGAGGUAAGAUUUUGGUAGGGUAUUGUAGGUACGUGGUUGAUGCCCAUAGAUGGUGAUAAUAUCCUCAGGGUGAUAGAGCAAUAUUAGUCCCAAGUUUUAUGGCUAACCUCGAAUUAAAUUUUGGAGAGAUUAUCACCGAGGAGAUAAAAAUUUGAGUCUCGAGGUAUAAUACAGUAUAUCCCUUCCCUUGUUUAAUUACAAGGUUGUGUAGGUCAGCAAAUAUGUCGAAGAUUGUAGGGUUAGAAGAAGAACUCUUUGCAAAGAAGACCCACAAUGCGAUCCGAAAUGAGGAAAAUCAGCCAAGGCUAAUGCUUGACAGGGGCGCAGAGAUUCCAACUGAUCCACUAGUUACAGGUACUAGUUCAGCACUUAAUGCAGAGGUGCCUGAUUCUGAAGCUGUACCUCCAACAUCUGCAAUAAUGAAAGAAUCAUCAGUACCUAAAAUUGAGACAAUUCCUCCAGCUGCAGUGCCUAUAACAGAAUUUGUCUUCAACCCUAUGAAGUUCAGAAGAGUAGAAAAGUAGUCCAAGUGGUGCGAAGCUUAUCUUAAACUCUUUACCAAGCAAUUUACAGCUGCAGUUGACAAAAGAGUUAAGGCUGCACUUGAGCCUUACAAGGCUUUGCUGAGCCAGAUUGAUGAAUUGGAGAACUACUUCAAUGCACAGCCGAGAGAGAGGUCAGUUCCAGAGAUGUUAUUAUUCAGAUCAGACCUAGACAAAGUAAGGAUGGAGGUUGGAAAGCUACAGUAGCACCACUUUAUGGUGUCAAUAGAUCCAAUAGCUGAGAAGGUUGAGGGAGAAAUCCUGAUACUUAAUCUCAAGGAGGAGCUAGUGAAGAAAAAGAAGAAAAAAGGUGAGAAGAAAGGAAAAGGAAAGAGAGAGAGGCCCGAUAAUAAUAAAAAAAGAAAAGCAGAAAAGAGGGCAAGAAAAAAGUCUGAGAAGGAGGAGAUGAAAAAGGUGAGAAUUGAGUCCUUAGUGGACAAAGAGAGAUGGGAGACAACCAUCCGAGCGAGAGCUGCAGGUGCCUCUACUAGUAGGCCUUCAGAGACUAAUAGACCAACUGCACCAGAACAGAGAGAGGCUUCUAAUGGAUAUGUGGCACCAGGGUCAGGAACCCAUGACCCCCGGGAUUAAUCUAUUCCAGGUAUACUCUAACCCUUACUUUAAAUUUUCUUUGAUUUUAAGUUGAGGGUGUAGGGUAAAGUUGUUGUUGUAAAAUUUUGUAGUCAACUAGGAGAAAUACUUGUACUUGAGGCAGUUGAAUUGUUUUUGUGAUUUUUGUCCACCUCUUCAAGUGGUCUUCUACUUUAAACUGAGUGAUUUACAUUUAAGUGUGACCACCGUGCAUCUUUGUAUGUUAUUAGUUCUAGUAACAUAAUAAUCAUUGCUAAACAGUUGUACGAACUGAAUGAGUAGUCGAGUGUGAUAUACCUAUGCGCCAAGUGUGUGUGUGAAAUGUUACUCGGUUCCCUCUGUAUGCUGAAGCCAGAACUUGCCCUGUUAGUCUUACCUAGGCUGAAGGAUAGAGGUUAGGAAAGGAUCAUAGGCCAUCUUAAUAUUAGCUCACUUUAGCCUAAAUGACCUUCCCUAUGUGUAUCAUAUCCCUUGAUCCCUGUUUUGAGCCUAAUUAGCCUAUUUCUUUGUAUGACACUUGUCACCUUCUAAUUUGUUUUAUCCCUAGUCCUCCUUGGACACUGUGCACCUUGACUUAGGCAAAUGGCCUAAGUUGAGGGUGGCUAUUAUAGGAGUACGUAAUAUAGAAUGAGUAUGAAGAAAGGUAGCAUAAAAGAAAAGAAUAAAAAGCUGGGUGCAGAAGAAAGAGCAAGAAAAAAAAUAUGAAAAAGAAUAAGUAAUUGAGAAAAGACUGCACCCAUCCUAAAUAAUGGUUAUCAAGAAAAGAGAAGAGUGGAAAAGGCUAAUGAGUGAAACCUCAAAAAGCUAGUGUAGUGUCAAGGAGGCUUAGUCACUUUAAAUACCAUCGAAUAUCAUACCAGGCCCUAGCCUAUAUUACAAGCCUAAAAGAAGUCCUAUAGUGAUCCUAGCUGACCUAUCUGAAGACCUGGGUAAUGAAAAUAAGGGCAAGCCUAUGGUACUUGGCAUACACUGAUUGGAACUUCAUUCUAAGAGUGAGUGUUUUGAUUGUCCCCAUGGUUACAUAUAUAAUUCUUGAUAUGAGAUGAGGCGGAUUUCUUUGUUGUGAGGGCACACUGGUUAAAUUGCUAGUUACUAACUUAUUCGGGUAGUGUAAUACUGGUCUAUGCAUGGUUGUUAUAGCUGAAUUGAUUCCAUAUCUUGAUUCCUGUGUGUUGCAUUGGUGUUUUUCUUUAUACUUAAAUUGACUGACUUUGGAGAUGGUGAAAGUGUUUUGAGAUGAUAUGGAUGAUUGACUGCCAAAUGUGCUUUGUAUUCUCUUAGUUGUGCUGAGUUGCUUGAGGACAAGCAAUUGUUUUAAGUUGAGGGUAUUGAUGUGUGAGCUAAUGCUAACACAUUUGAGGCUUUUAACUAAGAAUAAUUUCAAAGUCUUAAGCAACUUUUGUCGAUUUUGAUUGUUUUAUGUUUGAUUUUGCAGAAGAAGCUAAUAUGUUAGAGAACCAACAAGAAUGGAAGCAAAUAAGCUGAAAUCUGAAGUAAAUAGAGGCAAAGUGUGGCUGACGACAUUUGUGAUAAUUCAUUAGCCCUGUGAUAAUCUAUCAGCUUUAUCAUCAGUAGUAGACAGAGAAUUGGCCUAAGUUGAAAGCUGUGACGAUAUUUAGUGAUAAGACGUCAAGGAGCUGAUAAGUCGUUAAGAUUGCCAUCAGCCUAAGGUAGAACAUGAGAGCUAAGAAAAAGCCUUGACGACAUUUGUGAUAGGUCGUCAAGGAGCUGAUAGGACAUCACCGUUUGUUGUCAGCAUUAGGCAGCGACUACCAAAAGCAUAAAGGAAGCUGACGAUAUUUGUGAUAAUUCGUCAGCCUCCUGAUAGUCUAUCAUAAAUGACGUCACCUAAUCCGAGGAAUUUCUAAAUUUUAUUAUUUUGUUUCCAUAAUUAGGGUGAACUAUUUAAAGCCUUGUUUAGGGUUUUCUUAAGUGUUCCGAACCUUGAGUUUGAACAUAAAACUUUGAUAUUUUUCUCCCUUUUCUUUUGGCUUGAGAAAACAAUUACUUUAAAGAGACUAUUAUCAUUAUUUUGGGAUUUUCUUUGGUGAUUUAAUCUGAGAAUCUCUAGUUUCUAUUCAUCUUGUGGUAAGUUUAUCUUUCAAAGCAUGAAUUCUUCUAGUUGCUUCGAUUAUUACGUCAUGAGCAGCUAAAUUUCUUUAACCUAAAUUAUGGGAUCUAGGGGUAGGUCUUGAUAAGGUGCUGAGUGUUCAAGAUUCGAAAAGUGGUAGGAUUCCUUGAUAAUUCUGAUGUUUUAAUUAUUAUCUGUUGGUUGCAAACGAUAGAUAACACCUGCUUUGAUUUUCUUGAGAAAGAAAUCAAAUAUAGUGGGAAGUGAAUUAUCAAUAGGGACUUGAAAAUACUAAACUUCAGUUUAAUAAUCAGCACUAUAACAAGGUUGGUUAACCUGAGGUAAAAUCUGGGCAGUGAAUAUAAAUACCCUAAGUCCGAGAGGAUUAGGUAAUUAAAUGCUUAAGUAGGUCGAGAGAUAUUUAAGCAUAACUUUGAUAGAGAUAACUUGUUGUCCUACCUACCGUGAGAAUCUUGAACCACCAGUAGCAUCUGUCAAGUACCAAAAUCCCUAGUGAACAUAAUUCUAUUUCUUCAUAGACUCUUGAUUACAAACAUUUAAACUAAAGUGAACAACAAUUAAUUUUAACUAAAACCCCCCUUUUUUUGGAAAUAUCCAACUAUCAGCUGAUUAAAUCGCAAACGACUUACGUUCACACCAUAUUCCCUGUGGGAUUCGACCCCAACCUAGUUAGGUUUUAUAUUGACAAUGAUCGCUUACAUUCUCGUUGAGAGGUGUAGUUUGAGCGUUAUCAUGUACCUGAAGUCUUGAACAGGUGAGGAUACUGGGUACACAUCUCGCUCUCAAUCUCCCAAGUAGCCUCCUCUACUAGGCCUUAACUACAGAAAUCUCCCUACUGCGUAUCCGCCUAACAUCACUAGACAAAAUAAGCACAGGUUUGCCCAUGAAGGUCAAUCACUCAUCCAACUAGACUGAGUCCCAUCUACGUACAUGAGAUGGAUCAAGAAUGUAUUGCUGCUGUCGCACCUUAUUUAUAACCGGUCAAAAUACCACACAACAUGUUGUCGCUGUUAUGACUCUUGAAUUUUAAAAAUUCAUUUUUGGAGUUGCCACCUAAAUUUUUUAGGAAAAUUUGGAAAAAACCAUUUUUACCUAAAAAAAUAAUUGUUUUGGUCUUUCGAAAAAAUUUUGGGAUUCUGAGUAAGGGUUUUGGUUACUCAAGGGGGAGGUGUUAGGAACCCCUCAAAGUCUAUCCAAAGAUAGUCCUUAGACUCAGUUUAGGAAAAUAUAUGAAGAAUAUUUGCUUCGAUAUUUGCUAAAAUUGUGAUAUGAAAACCUUUAUUAUUAUUUUUUAAUCGUUAUUUUUUUUUAUAAAAGGGAGCUUAAGGUACACAAAAUGGUACGCUACCACAUACAAGAAAGUAACAUAAUUAUUGCUGAAUAUAUGUAUGAAUUAUUUUGUAAACAUGGGAAAGAGNNNNNNNNNNNNNNNNNNNNNNNUAGUGUUUUCAUUGUAAUAAUAUAAAGGUACAAAGCUUUAUGAUUUUGUAAAAAAUAUGCUUCAAAUGUAUAAAAUUGAAUAAAAUUCAUUAUAGAAUGAAGAAGGUAUAUAUUUAAAGUAUGAAAGAAUUUGUUUAAUGUAAACAUAAAUACAUGAGUAUUUAUAAAUAUACAAAAAUAUUUUUUCUUAAAAUAAAUCAUUUGUCUUGCGAAAUUCAAAUAGAUUUAGAUUGAGACUAAGUGAAAAUAAAUAUAACAGUAAAGCACAUAGGCAUAAUAAGUUUGAAAUAAUCCAAUGAUAAUGAAAAAAAAGGAACAAUGAUGAUGAUGAUGAUGAUGAUGAUCGUGGUAAAAAAAGUUAUUAUAAUAGUAAUGAACAUAAUGAAAUAUACAUGGUACGUAGUAGCGGAAGAAUGUAUAUACCUUGCAUUUCUAACCUUUGAGAUCUAAAAAAAUGUGAUGUAAAGCAUUGACAUUAUUUAUUGAAAACAAAUUAAAAUUAGCAGGCGACCCUUUAAGAAAUCUGAAAUUUUUAGGAAAAUUUUUCUCCCCCUGAAUUAGUGUUUGAAAUUUUAUUUUUUAUUCAUUUAUUUAUUUUUAGGAAAAAUGUAGAGGUUGCUACAUUAAUUUUAUUUAAAAUAUUUUGAGGCAAAAGCUAUUUUCAAAAGAAUUAGCCUAGCAUUGAAAUUAUAAAAUUUAUAUCUUUUACGAGUUAAUUAAUUGUGUUUUAAUUGCGAAAGUCACGACAUUAAGCUAUUUCUAAAAGGAUCGAGAAAUAACAAGACAAACGUAAAUCAAUAAUCAGAUAAAGCCAUUUUAAAAAUUUAAUAUAGAUAAGAGUUAGUUAUCAUUCUAAAGAAAAACUCAACAUGAUAAAUGUAAAUCAAACUGAAGGAGGAUAAAGAAUACUAGACCCCAUUUAGGAGUUUGGGCUUCUAAUCUACGAGAAUCCGAUGUUCUGCGAUCCUAGUAGCGGUUGACUUGAUAUUUGGAUCAAAGUGAGUUUCGAUUAAAACUUUCAUUCUCGAGAUUACAUGAAACAAAAAUAUAAAAAUAAAAAUUAGUAGCUAAUCAAAAUAACAAAAUAAUAUAAAUUGCCGAUUAUGAAGAAACACAAACUCAUGAAUACAUUUCACAUAAGAACCGGGUAAGUGCUUAAGUUAAGCUAGUAUUCCAAACAAAUUAUCCGUGGAAGACUUUGCAUAUUAAUAGAACCUUGUCACUAACCUUCAUCGCCACACCAAGAGUAAUAGUGAUAGCAAAUUUCCUAAGAUCCAAAUGACACUUCAAGGGAUAAUUUAAUUUUCUCAAUGCAUAUCAAAGGGCUCAAAUGAUCGGGAAAACAUUGAUUUCUUUAGACUUUUUUUGCUAUCCCUUAGAGAUGGUUAAGAUACUUAUUAUUCCCAAAACAUGAAACUCCUACCACAAAGUGGUCACUUAACCACCAAAUUUCAUUAUAAGCUUAACAAAUCCACCAAAUUUCAUUUAGAGUGACGAAUAGAGUUAGCCACGAACGCUAGAAAUCUAGCUAGGAACAUGAAACCCAACACAUCCAAAAUGAGGUAAUUGAUAAUAAUUUAUGAAGGAAAUCUUCUUAUGUAUGAAUUUUUUUUAAAAAAGAAACCCAAAUAAGUCAAGAGGGAUGGAAUUAAGAGAAAAUAAAUGAAUAAGUAAACCAACAUUUAAGCUUUGGAAUGCCCAUGACAUGAUCAAACGACUAUAGAGAAUUAAUAUAAACGUUUUAAUCCUCUGGAAAUUAACUAAAGGAACCACGACCAAAUAUUAAAAUUGGGCAAUUUGACAAAAUUGUACCCACAUUGACAACUUAAAAAAAACCUGCAUGGUGUUAACCAACUCUCUAAUGUUCACAAUGAAAAGCGACUUUAUUAAACUAACCCAAGCAUAUAAAUGCACGUAAGACCCCCAAACUGAUUGGUUUAAGGAAAUCUUGCGUUGACUCUUUAUAAACAACUAUCAAAAGUUUGGCACCUUAUAUGAAAGAACAUCCAAACAAUAAUAAUAACGUGAUGACUUUAAACUCAAUUUACCAAGAUAAAAAAAAGGCUAAGAUGACUAUUAAUUCCAGAAAAGUUGCAAACAUUGAGUGAUCACAUAUUUGUCAAAAAAAAAAUUCCUUACCACUGGUUAGCUUAUAGAAAAUACAAGACUAAGAGAAUAGUUCUUGCUCCCUUUAUUUUUGGCUAACCUCAAGAGUCCAAUUUUAAAUGAAAUAAAAUUUAAAAUGAUGAUACCAUUCACCAAAAACAAAGAUGACCCUAGAUGAUAGACAUAAACAUCUUGAGGCACGUAGAGAGUGUGAUCACUGUUUUACGGGAUUACAUUCAUAAAAAUGGUAACACAUUAUCCCAAAUAUAAUUUAUACUUUCCAAGAGAAUAUUCAAAUGCACUGCACAAUUCUCAUGAGUUGAAAUGAUAAAAGAAGAGUAAAAUGAUAAAAGUAGAGGAAAACAAAGGGUAUGGACAUAUCCCUGUGUAGACUUCAAGAUAAAAGCAUGAUUUCUGAAAGCAAAGAGAGGGACACACAUAUUCUCGAAAUCAUAAUAAAUAGAAAAGGCGUGAGGAGGGUAAAAAUAAAGUGACUAAUUUUAAGUAUCUCACAUAGUUUGAACAAAAAAAACUACAAUCGUAGAAACGAGAAUUUAAGACGAACCCAGAUUCUUUAAACUCACAAUAGGUAAUAAAACCAAUGUAUGUUUGAAACUGAAACAAGUCCCUUCCUCACAUAAUUAUAGGCUUGUAUAUUUGUGAAAUAAUUUUUCGGAGCACAAAGUUAUAUUCAGGAUAAAAUUCAAAAAAAACCAUAGCCACCAACAGUCCUAAAACAAAAUAAAUACGCAAAAGAUUCCAAUUAUUAUAGAUAGAUACCCACUAUGAGAAAUUAGUAGAGUUAAGAUCCAAAAAGACAUAGUCUGGGCAUAUAUAGUCUUUCCGGGGAAUUCAUUUUUUAUGUCGUUUAACUGCACAGUAAACUAGGUGGAUUGAACUAUCCUUGUUUUACAGAGUUUAGAAUGUUUACACAGACAUGAAUAAAAAUAAUUAAGUAAACGAAUUCAUGAACAAAAAGAUUGAUAUCUUUUGAAACGGAAUUGAAGAUAUAAUCACUUUUACUGACUUUAAUGGUGAACACAUUUUAUAGUCUGAAAAUGUGGUUGUGUUAGGGUUUUUGCCUGUUUUUCUUACUAAAAUUAAGUUUUACUUUUUUUUGGAAGGAAAAUAAAAGUAAUCAUAAUUACUUUUAUUUUUUCUAAAAGGAAAUUAUAAAUUUUUUUCAUAUUUAGCUAACCUCUUUCUUGGAGGAAAGGUUUGAAAACUCUAUAAAUAAAAGCCCUUCUCAUAUCAUAACACAAUAACAUUCAUAAUGUAGUCUUUAAAGAGUUUGUUGAGGGGGAGAUUUUCUCCCCAUAGGUAUUAUAUUUUUCCAAUAUUAAUUUUAAAUAUGUAGAUCGUUUAACCAAAUCAUAUUUAUAAUAUGUUUUCAGUACGUUUUCUUUGUCAUCUGAAUUAUCGUCCUUAUGGUUUGCAAACUUUAAGCUUCCUAAUGACGCCCUCUCAAUUUCAAACCCAACAAGUGGUAUUAGAGCCUAUGGUUCAAAUUAAGGACAUGUUGAGAUUAAAGUUGCAACCAAUUUAACGACAGUGAAGUUAUUUUGUCAAAAUAAAACUACAUGUAGAUUCUAUUAUAUUGUUGUAUGAAAAGGGGUAUUCUAUUUAUAGAGGACAAAAAACCUUUUCUUCAAGAAAGAGGUUUGCCAAAUAUGAAAAGAAUCAUAUUUUCCUUUGAAGAAAAGUAAAAGUAAUUAUGGUAUUACUUUUAUUUUCUUUUCAUGAAAAAUAAAACUUAAAUUUGGUACGAAAAUUAGGGAAAAACCCUAAUAAAUCUUCCAUUUUUGGCUUGAUUUUCUUCACUUAUCCGCCUUCUUCACAUGAUCUUCGUAUAUCACUGCUUCUUACCAUGAUUAAAAGUUGACAUGGAUCCCUAUGCAUUAAAAGUUAAAAGCAUGGGUUAGCACUAUUGAAGCCCUAUGUUAUAAGUAAACAGGGUUAAAAGUAGAGCCUUGUGCAUUGAAAGUAAGUACUGGUUAAAAGUGAAACUCAUGUAUUAAAAGUAUAUGUACAAGUUGAAAGGAGCCCAAACAUUAAAAAUAAGCAGGAGUUGAAAAUUGGAGCCCAUAAGCAUGGGUUGAAAAUAGAUUUUGAUUUUAAAGAUGAAAUAGCAACAGGAUUGUUGAAAACUUAUUUGAAACUUUUCUCCAGAUAUAGCUAGACAAAGAUCUUCAUUAUCAUUAUAUUGGUUGCAACUUUGAUCAGCAUGUCCUCAGUCUGAACCAUCGGACCAUUGAAUCAUAGGCUAUGAUACUAUAAUACCCGUGUUUUUUCUUAGCUUAAAAAUCAUCUCAAGGAUGUUAGAACUUUCUUUGAAAUAAUAAUUCAUUCUUAUACAUGUGGUACUUCCAUAAUUUUCACUUCCUAUCACAUGGGAAAUUGAAUAAGAUUUCCAUCGUUAUAUAAUUCGUCCAAAUUCGACACCCGGGGAAGAGUUAGAGCCUUUUUAGUAAUACAGUAUUUGACCUGAGCCUUCAGCGCGUCGCGGAGAGAGCUCAAUGGCAAUUGUCAAAUUCCAGUGUUGCUCCAUGAUACUGGCAUGUCGUGCCAAACUUCCAGGUCAUAGAUAAGGUGGUAACGCGAUAACUCUGCGUCGCGCCACCGUACAGUUUCCCAUUUGUCAAUUUGCAGUGACACGAUGCGAUAACGCUGCGUCGCGCCAAGGGCCCAAUUCGAAAAAUUUUACUGAAAAUUAAAUUACGUGUCUAGGGUUAAAAGGGUCAAUUUUCCCCCUACAUAAGCUUCCAAACACGGGAUUUAGCCCUUAUUCAUCUAAAAUAUUGAUGUUUUUCUCAAAUACUCUCAAGAACUCAAGCUAGGAUUUUCAUAGAACUUCUAAUUUCAAGAAGGUUUCACCAUCAAUCUUCACGAAAUCACGAUCUAAGGUAUGCAUAGUGUUCAUUCAUGGACUCCUUUUGUCCAUGAAGUCCAAGAGUCCUUUUUAACUACAAGUUAUGGAUUUUCUUCAUAUUUUCAUACUUAGUAUGUUCUCUUUUAUGUUGGUAAAUGAGGAAUUGAUUUCUAUUCCAUGAUUUGAUGAUAAAUUCCAUGUAGGUUGAUUAGUAUAGAUAAAGAUUUACGAAAUCUAAUGACUAAAACCUUGUAUGAUGAAAUUGGAAUUGAACCAUGAUGUUUAGUUGCUAUACCAUGAUGUUUACAUGUACUAUGCCUGUCAUAUGUUUGAUAAAAUGCCUAGAUGAAGGAAAUUUUCCUAAAUAGCAUGAUAUCAUGAAAAUCCCCAUAAAUGUACAAGCUUGUACCUAUUAGGCAUUGGAUGAAAUGCUUCAAUAAACGUAUUGUGGUGAUUAUCAUGUAUUCAAGAAUAUCAAGUCAUGUCAAUUUCCUUCUAUCGAGUCCUGAGGGUACUUGUACCCGAAAUAUUGCUGUGUGCCUAGAGCCAUAUUAUGUUUUUCACGAUAUUCUUAGUUAAGCUAUGAACUCUUAGACUUCGGAUAGUCUUAUGACUCAGGAAAAAUCUCCAUGAUCUCAUGAAUCAGUCAGUUGUCAGAUAUCAGUAGUAUUCCGUUAGCCACAAAAAUUUAGUAACUCAGUCCAUGCUCAUUUUAGUUAAGUAAAUCAUAUUCAGUGUCCAUUCAUAUAGGAGUAGGAAUUAACACCGAGUGAACCCAAGGAUGGGGACUCACCUGUUAUACGAGGGUGUGAUUCCUAGAAGCAAUCCUUGCAUUUCAAAACUAUGUAGCCAGCAUAGGUUGAGACAUCGUAGCCUGCUAUAUGAGGGUCGAUGAGGUGGCUUAAAUUGUUAUAUGAGGGUUCCCACCGUUCUCACUAGAUUUACCUAUUAUAUGAGGGUUACUUACAUGUUGUCCUUACCAGUGGCCCGGUAUUAACACCCUUCCAAUCAGGGCAUAGAUUGGACCCCAGCUCAGCUAUUAUAGCACCUUUGGGGUAUGUCGGUUAGAUACUACUUCCCAUAAUUUCAUGUUAUAGAUUUAGGACUAUCAGAUAUAGUCAAUCAAUCUGAGUAAUAGAACUCAGAUAGUUCUUCAGAUUUCAGGACUGUUAGAUACAGUCAACUCAGAUAUAGUACAAAACUCAAAUAGUUUCAUCAGAUUUAGGACUCUCAGCUAAAGUCACCCAUGUUAUCAGUAUUAUUCAGAUAUACUCCUUCAUAUUAUCAGUCAUAUCAGUUACUAACAUGUCACGUUAUCAGUAUACAGACUCAAAAAUCAUAAAAUCAUGUUGUCAGUUACAAUUACAUAUUUAUGCAUGUAUUCUCACGUUCAUGUUAGACAGUCAGUUAGCAUUAUUCAUGCAUGUGAACCAUCACAUAUAGAGUACCUCACAUGUAUACUCAGUAUAUUUCAUUGUACUGACGCAUUUGCGCUAUGGUGCUUUCUUUUUAUAUUACACCAUAGGUUCAGAGACACGAGUUCCAGAUCAGCAGUAGAUUCUAGUUUCAGCGGUCAGAGUAGAAGUGAGUCCUCAUCCUUUGAGGACAUAAUAAUUUUCUAUUAUUUCAUUGAUUAGCUUAUUAAUUGGAGUUAGUUGGGGACAUGUCCCAUCAACUCCUUAUUUAGAUUCUUCAGACAGUAGAGACUUUUAGACUAUAUGCAGACUUUAGUUUUGUUUUUGGUAUUCUAUUACCCCGCACAGAUGUUACGUUAUUCAGUUAUGUUCAUGAUCAAACCUUAUGGCCUUUCAGUGCAUGUUUCUGCAUUAUUAUGUUAUCUUAUGCAGUAUACGGGUACAAAUAUCGGUCAUGGGUUAGCUUGUGGUCCUUCAGGGUCAUGAGCAUUGUGUAGCAUUUUGGUUUAGUAAAUCGGGUUAUUACAAACUUGGUAUCAGAGACUAAGGUUCAAUAGAGUCCUAAGAAGUCUAAAAGCCGUAUCUAGUAGAGUCUUGUACAUGGGUGUGUUACGUGCCAUAUUUAUGUGUAAGAGGUUAUGAGAUAUGUUAAGAAUAGUUUCCCUUCUUUCAGUAUUCAUGUCGUGCCUGUGAGUAUAAUCCCAAGUCAGUCUCUCAGUCUAAUCCAUUUCUCCCUUUCUUCUACAGAACAUGCCUCCUAAAAAAAGAAAUGGAAAUCAGUCAGCCUCUCAGCCCAAAGAACCUUUAGGCGAUCAUGUUUCUCAUGCGGAGUUUAGGAUCGCAUUUACCACUCUUGCUCAAUCGAUCGCUACUCAUAAGGAUUGGCUAACAGCUGUCCGACCAACUUAGGCACAGCUAUAAUUUAGGACUUCACCCGAAUGAAUCCUACAACCUUCCUCGGGUCUAAGGUUGAUGAAGACCCUCAAAAUUCUUAGAUCAAGUUUAGAAAGUGGCAGACGCCAUGGGGGUGACUAUUGUUGAGAGUGCUGAGCUAGCUACAUAUUAGUUACAGGAUGUGGCUCAUGCUUGGUUCAAAUAGUGGAAGUCCAAAAGAUUAGAUGAUGCAGGUCCUAUAGAGCGGGAGAAGUUUGUCACUGCAUUCUUAGACAGGUUCUUUCCCCAAGAGCUUAGAGAAGCCAAGGUGCUAGAGUUCAUCAACCUCAGGUAGGGCAAUAUGACUGUGAAAGAGUAUUUUUUUAAGUUUACUCAAUUAUCUAGGUAUGCCCCUCACGUGGUUGCAAAUAGUAGAUCCAAGAUGAGUAAGUUCUCUUCAGGGGUAAACAAGAGCAUGGUUAAUAAGUGCAGAUCCACCUUGCUGAACAGUGACAUGAACUUAGCUAGACUUAUGACCUAUGCUCAGCAAAUAGAAGAGCAGAAAAUUAAGCAGAGGGAAAAGCAGAACAGGAGAGCAAAGACAGGUAGUUUCAACUUUGCUCAGCCUAAAUCAGAAAGAGAAAACCAUUUCCAGUUUCAUCAUAAGUCAUCAGUUCUAGCUCCCUCUACAGCCAGUGCUCUAGUUCCUAAGUUCAAAGAUGGUAACAAAGUUAGAGCACCAGGCUCUAAAACACAUGGCAGUGUUAGUAGUACCCGCACCUGUCCUCUUUGCCAGACUUGCGGUAAGCACCAUCAGGGUAUUUGUAGGCCACAGAGUUAGAGACUUUCCUUAGCCAGGUCCUCAGGGUCAAUAGAAUCGCUCUUCAGCUCAGUCAGGUCACCCAAAUCAGUAGGUUUCCACUUCCAGUGCUACUAGCGGACAACGCCCAAAUCUUCUCUAUGUUCUUCAAACUCGAUAAGAUUAGGAAAGUUCUUCUGAUGUACUUACUGGUACGUUAUAGAUCUUUCAUGUGCAUGUUUACGCUUUGCUAGAUCCAAGAGCUUCCUUGUAUUUUGUUACUCCUUAUAUAGUAGUUGAUUUCAGAACCAGUCUCGAAAUUCUAGCAGAGCCCUUCUCAUUUUCUACCCCAGUGGGUAAAACCAUCAUAGCCCGGCAGGUAUAUAGGAACUAGCCGGUUAUGAUAUUUUAAAAAGUCACUUCAGCAGACUUAGUCGAAUUAGAGAUGACUGAUUUUGAUGUCAUUCUUGACAUGGAUUAGCUUCAUUCCUGCUAUGCCAUAGUCUACUGUAGAAAUAGAAUAGUCCAGUUUUAAUUCCCAAAUGAACCCAUCCUAGAGUGGAAGGGUAGCGUAUCCGCUUUCAGAGGUCAGCUUGUUUCCUACCUUCGGGUAAGGAAAAUGAUAUCUAAGGUAUGUGUUUAUCAUCUAUUUCAUGUUAGAGAUUCUAGUUUUGAGGCUCCCAGUCUCGAAUCAGUCCUAGUAGUGAAUGAAUAUUUAGAUAUCUUUCCCGAAGAUCUCCCAGGAAUUCCUCCUGAAAGGAAAAUAGACUUUGAUAUUGAUCUUCUUUAAGACACUCAUCCAAUCUCUAUUCCUCCAUACAUAAUGACACCAACAGAACUCAAGGAACUGAAAGAACAGUUGAAGGAUCGCUUAGAUAAGAGAUUCAUCAGACCUAGUAUUUCCCCGUGGGGCGUACCAGUCUUAUUCACGUGCAAUAAAGAUGGUUCACUCAGAAUGUGUAUAGAUUACCGAUAACUCAAUAAAGUCAUGGUCAAGAAUAAGUAUCCUCUUUCCAGAAUCGAUGACUUAUUUGACCAACUUUAGGAUGCCAGUUAUUUCUCUAAGAUAGACCUCAGAUCCGGCCAUCAUCAGCUCAGAGUUAGAGAAUGUGACAUCCUAAUACAACUUUUUGUAUGCGGUAUGGUCACUUUAAAUUUCUAAUCAUGUCAUUUGGUCUUACAAACACCCCAGCUGCUUUCAUGGACUUGAUGAACUGUGUGAUCAAGCAGUACUUGGACAUGUUCAUCAUAGUCUUCAUAGAUGAUAUGCAUUGAGCGCGAUCGUGCAGACCAUCUCAGAAUAGUACUCCAGACUCUCAGAAAUCAUCAGUUAUUCGCCAAAUUUAGUAAGUGCGAAUUUUGGCUAAGAUCAGUAGCAUUCCUUGGCCAUAUUAUUUCCGAUGAUGGCGUUAGAGUAGAUCCUCAAAAGACCAAAGCAGUAAGAAACUGGCCUCGCCCUAUUUCUCCAUCAGAUAUCAGGAGUUUCUUGGGUUUGACAGGCUAUUACAGAUGGUUUGUUAAAGGAUUUUCAUUCAUUGCAUCCCCUAUGUCCAGAUUGACUCAGAAGAAAGUCAAGUUCCAGUGGUCAGAUCCUUGUGAGAAGAGUUUUCAAGAAUUGAAGACUCGACUCACCUCAGCUCCAGUCUUAGCUCUUCCAAAUGGUUCAGGCGGUUUUGUAGUUUAUUGUGAUGCAUCUAUAGUGGGUUUGGGUUGUGUCCUCAUACAACAUGGUAAGGUCAUAGCCUACGCCUCCAGACAGCUUAAACCCCAUGAGAAGAAUUAUCCUACUCAUGAUCUUGAAUUAGCAGUCGUAGUAUUUGCCUUAAAGAUUUAGAGGCAUUAUCUCUAUGGAUUUCAUAUAGACGUCUUCACAGAUCAUGAGAGCCUUCACUAUGUCUUUUCUUAAAAAAAUCUCAAUCUUCGUUAGAGAAGGUGGUUAGAGCUCUUAAAAGAUUAUGACAUGAGUGUCCUCUAUCAUUCGAGCAAGGCCAACAUAGUGGCCGAUGCUCUCGGUAGACUGUCCAUGAGUAGUAUUUCUCAUGUUGAUGAUAGUAAGAAGAAGUUAGUCCAGGAAGUCCACCAGCUUGCCAGAUUAGGCAUUCUCUUGGUCAACUCUUCAGAGGGCGGUGUAUGUGUUCAGAGUAGUUCAGAAUUAUCUCUAGUUUCUGAGGUAAAAGAAAAGCAAGAUAAGGAUCCUAGCCUUGUCAAGCUAAAAGAGUCAGUUCAGAAUCAGAAAAUAGAGGUUUUCUCCCAAGGGGGAGAUGGUGUUCUUCGUUGUCAGGGUCGUCUUUGUGUUCCAGACAUAGAUGAAUUAAGGCAGCAAAUUCUUGCAGAAACGCAUGGUGCACGUUACUCUAUUCAUCCAAGGGCCACUAAGAUAUACCGCGACUUGUAGGAGAUCUAUUGUGGAGCGGGAUAAAAACUAUGUUGCAAAAUUUAUGGCUAAGUGCUCUACAUAUCAGCAGGUUAAGAUAGAGCAUCAGAGCCUAGUGGGUCCAUGCAGGAGUUCAGUAUUCAUACUUAGAAGCGGGAAGUUGUAAACAUGGACUUCGUGAUGGGUUUGCCUCGAACUCGUUGUCAGCAUGAUUUAGUCUGGGUCAUUAUAGAUAGAAUGACCAAAUCAACUCUUUUCCUUCCAGUUCAUACCUCUUAUUCAGCCGAGGAUUAUGCCAAGCUCUACAUCAAGGAGCUGGUCAAAUUGUACGGUGUUCCAUUAUCAAUUAUCUCAGAUAGAGGUACCCAGUUCACCUCUCAUUUUUGGAAAGCAUUCCAAAAGGGUCUUGGUACCCAAGUUCAUCUCAGUACAACCUUUCAUCCUUAGACAGAUGUUCAAGUAAAAAGGACCAUUCAGACGUUAGAAGAUAUGCUAAGGGAGUGUGCAAUUGAUUUUAAGGGAAGUUGGGAUGACCAAUUGCAUUUGAUUGAGUUUUCAUACAACAACUAUCAUUCCAGUAUUCAGAUGGCUCCAUCUGAAGCUCUUUAUAGUAGGAGAUGUAGAUCUUCAAUUGGUUGGUUCGAAGUUAGUGAGGCCUCAGUCAUAUGGCCUGACUUAGUAUUCGACGCCUUAGAGAAAGUUCAGUUAAUUAGAGAAAGACUCUGGGAUGCUCAAAGCCGACAGAAGUCUUAUGCAGAUAUUCAUAAAAAGGAUAUUAAGUUUGAGAUUGGUGAUCAUGACUACCUCAAGAUCUCUCCCAUGAAGGGAGUGAAGAUAUUCAGCAAGAAGGGAAAACUCAGUCCCCGAUAUAUCGGUCCUUUCAAGAUUCUUAGUCAAUUCGGCAAAGUAGAUUAUGAGCUUGAAUUGCCUUCAAAUCUAGCCUUAGUUCGUCCAGUCUUCCAUGUCUCUUUGAUCAAGAAGUGUAUAGGUGACCCAUCAGUCGUAGUCCCUAUUCAGAGCAUAGAUGUUCAGAACAGCCUCUCUUAUGAAGAGAUUCCAAUUGAAAUCUUAGACUAUCAGACUCGUAGAUUGAGGAACAAAAAGUCCCUCUAGUUAAAGUUCUUUGGCGAAAUCAGUCCGUCGAGGGAGAUACUUGGGAAACAUAAGCAAAUAUGUGUACCUAGUAUCCUCACCUCUUCCCCGCCAACUCAGAUCAAGCUCAAGGUAACAGUUCUCCUUAAGCUUACUUAGUUUCAAGAUUAGUGUACAUCACUAACUUAGUUUUAGUCUCAUGGUCAUGUUCCCAUGAUAAGCUUAGUAUCAAGUACCAUCGCAUAUUCAGUCAUGCAUUUAUGUAUCAGAUCAGUUAUAUUAGUUAUGCAUCAGACACGCAUUCUCAUUGUGAGAAAAUUUAGUUCUUCAGAACUUUCAGUUAUGCAUUUAUGAAUCAGUUACGCAUGCAUCAGAUAUGCAUGUUCAGUAUGUUAUGUUCAUCUUGUUAGUCACGUCCAUCAUGAGAUCAUGUUCUAGUUAUUCAUGUUCAGCUCAUUAUUUCCCUCCUCAGUCAGUCUCAUUCGAGGAUGAAUAUUCUCAAGGGGGAGAUGUUAUAAUACCCGUGCUUUUUCUUAGAUUAAAAAUCAUCUCAAGGAUGUUAGAACUUUCUUUGAAAUAAUAAUUCAUUCUUAUACAUGUGGUACUUCCAUAAUUUUCACUUUCUAUCACAUGAGAAAUUGAAUAAGAUUUCCAUCGUUAUAUAAUUGGCCCAAAUCCGACACCCGACCGAAGAGUUAGAGCCUUUUUAGUGAGACAGUGUUUGACCUGAGCCUUCAAUGCAUCGCGGAGAUAGCUCAAAUGACAAUUGUCAAAUUCCAGUGUUGCUCCGCGAUACUGGCGCAUCGUGCCAAACUUUCAGGUCGUAGACAAGGUGGCAACGCGAUAGCUCUGCAUCGCGCCACCGUGUAGUUUUCCAUUUAUCAAUUUCUAGUGACACGGUGCUAUAACGCUGCAUCACGCCAAGGGCCUAAUUUGAAAAAUUUUUCUAAAAAUCAAAUUACGUGUCCAGGGUUAAAAUGGUCAAUCCCCCCCCCCCCAUUUAAGCUUCCAAACACGGGAUUUAGCCCUUAUUCAUCCAAAAUAUUGAUGUUUUUCUCAAAUACUCUCAAGAACUCAAGCUAGGGUUUUCAUAUAUGGUCCAAUUUCAAGAAGGUUUCAUCCUCAAUCUUCACAAAAUCACUAUCUAAGGUAUGUAUAGUGUUCAUUCAUGGACUCCUUUCGUCCAUGAAGUCCAAGAAUCCUUUUUAACUACAAGUUAUGGAUUUUCUCAUGUUUUCAUGCUUUGUAUGUUCUCUUUCAUUUUGAUAAAUGAGGAAUUGAUUUCUAUUCCAUGAUUUGAUGAUAAAUUCCAUGUGGGUUGAUUAGUAUAGAUAAAUAUUUAUGAAAUCUCAUAACUAAAACCUUGUAUGAUGAAAUUGGAAUUGAACCAUGAUGUUUAGUUGCUAUACCAUGAUGUUUACAUGUACUAUGCCUGCCAUAUGUUUGAUAAAAUGCCUAGAUAAAGGAAAUUUGCCUAACUAGCAUGAUAUCAUGAAAAUCCCCAUAAAUGUACAAGCUUAUGCCUAUUAGACGUUAGAUGAAAUGCUUCAAUAAACAAAUUGUGGUUAUUAUCAUGUAUUCAAGACUACCAAGUCAUGUCAGUUUCCUUCUAUCGAGUCCUGGGGGUACUUGUACCCAAAAUAUUAGUGAUGUGCCUAGAGCCAUGUCAUGUUUUUCACGAUACUCUCAGUCAAGCUAUAAACUCAUAGACUUCAGAUAGUAUUAUGACUCAGGAAAAAUCUCCAUGAUCUCAUGACUCAGUCAGUUGUCAGAUAUCAGUAGUAUUUUAUCAGCCACGAAAAUUCAGUAACUCAGUCCAUCCUCAGUUCAGUUCAGUAAAUCAUGUUCAGUGUUCAUUCAGAUGGGAGUAGAAAUUAGCACCGAGUGAACCCAAGGAUGGAGAUUCACCUGUUAUACGAGGGUGUGAUUCCAAGAAGCAGUCCUUGCAUUCCAAAACUAUGUAGCCAACAUAGGUUGAGACAUCUUAUCCUUCUAUAUGAGGGUAGAUGAGGUGGCUUAACUUGUUAUGUGAGGGUUCCCACUAUUCUCACUAGAUUUACCUGUUAUAUGAGGGCUACUCACAUGUUGUCCUUACCAGUGGCGUGGUAUUAACACCCUUCCAAUCAGGGCAUAGAUUGGACCCCAGCUUAGCUAUUAUAGUACUUUUGGGGCAUUUCAGUUAGAUACUACUUCCCACAGUUUCAUGUUAUAGAUUCAGGACUGUCAGAUACAGUCAACUCAGAUACAAUACGGAACUCAGAUAGUUCCAUCAGAUUUAGGACUGUCUUCUACAGUCACCCAUGUUAUCAGUAUUAUUCAGAUAUAGUCCUUCAUGUUAUCAGUCAUAUUAGUUACUAGCAUGUCACAUUAUCAGUAUACAGACUCAGAAAUCACCAAAUCACAUUGUCAGUUACAGUUACGUAUUUAUACAUGUAUUCUCACGUUCUUGUUAGACAGUCAGUUAGCAUUAUUUAUGCAUGUGAACCAUCGCAUAUAGCCUACCUCACAUGUAUACUCAGUACAUUCCAUUAGAGGUGUACAAAUCAAAUCGUCAAGUCAAACCGAAUCGAUGAACUAAACCAAAUCGAGAAAAAAAAUCCGACUUAUGGUUUGGUUUGAUUGGUUUGGCGUUAGAAAAAAAACCAACCAUUCUUGGUUUGGUUUGGUGUUAACCAAAAAAAAUUCAAACCGNNNNNNNNNNNNNNNNNNNNNNNNNNNNNNNNNNNNNNNNNNNNNNNNNNNNNNNNNNNNNNNNNNNNNNNNNNNNNNNNNNNNNNNNNNNNNNNNNNNNNNNNNNNNNNNNNNNNNNNNNNNNNNNNNNNNNNNNNNNNNNNNNNNNNNNNNNNNNNNNNNNNNNNNNNNNNNNNNNNNNNNNNNNNNNNNNNNNNNNNNNNNNNNNNNNNNNNNNNNNNNNNNNNNNNNNNNNNNNNNNNNNNNNNNNNNNNNNNNNNNNNNNNNNNNNNNNNNNNNNNNNNNNNNNNNNNNNNNNNNNNNNNNNNNNNNNNNNNNNNNNNNNNNNNNNNNNNNNNNNNNNNNNNNNNNNNNNNNNNNNNNNNNNNNNNNNNNNNNNNNNNNNNNNNNNNNNNNNNNNNNNNNNNNNNNNNNNNNNNNNNNNNNNNNNNNNNNNNNNNNNNNNNNNNNNNNNNNNNNNNNNNNNNNNNNNNNNNNNNNNNNNNNNNNNNNNNNNNNNNNNNNNNNNNNNNNNNNNNNNNNNNNNNNNNNNNNNNNNNNNNNNNNNNNNNNNNNNNNNNNNNNNNNNNNNNNNNNNNNNNNNNNNNNNNNNNNNNNNNNNNNNNNNNNNNNNNNNNNNNNNNNNNNNNNNNNNNNNNNNNNNNNNNNNNNNNNNNNNNNNNNNNNNNNNNNNNNNNNNNNNNNNNNNNNNNNNNNNNNNNNNNNNNNNNNNNNNNNNNNNNNNNNNNNNNNNNNNNNNNNNNNNNNNNNNNNNNNNNNNNNNNNNNNNNNNNNNNNNNNNNNNNNNNNNNNNNNNNNNNNNNNNNNNNNNNNNNNNNNNNNNNNNNNNNNNNNNNNNNNNNNNNNNNNNNNNNNNNNNNNNNNNNNNNNNNNNNNNNNNNNNNNNNNNNNNNNNNNNNNNNNNNNNNNNNNNNNNNNNNNNNNNNNNNNNNNNNNNNNNNNNNNNNNNNNNNNNNNNNNNNNNNNNNNNNNNNNNNNNNNNNNNNNNNNNNNNNNNNNNNNNNNNNNNNNNNNNNNNNNNNNNNNNNNNNNNNNNNNNNNNNNNNNNNNNNNNNNNNNNNNNNNNNNNNNNNNNNNNNNNNNNNAUUUUCUUUAACAUAAAUAACAAUUAAUAUGUCUCACUUACAAAUAAUAUGGAUUUCUAUAGUGGUUGAAUUGUACAUAAAAGUUGCGAUAUUACAAAAAACAUGACUCAUAAAUAAAAAAGAAUUUAACCUCCUAUCCUAAUUCGUGACCUUGAUAUGUUUUAUUUUAAAAAAGAAAAAUGGGAUUGGAGCCUUUUUAUGCCAUGAUAAUCAAAAUUAUGUCACGAUUAUGCAAAGAAAGUAAAAGAAAAAAAGAGCAAUAAACCUUUAAUUUUUGACAACUUCAUUCGGCGGCAACAUACUUAUCCAAUUUUCGAUCAAAAACUUUCAACUAAAAGAGAAACAAAAGAAAUUAUCAAAAUAGAGAAUCAAUGUCAAUUGUUGAUUAUUAUUCUUCAUAUAUAAUCUUUAAAGGUAUGAUUUAAUAGAAAUAAAUAAAGGCAAAAGGAUGAUGAUAAUGAUAGUAAGAAAAUACGUGAAUCAAAACUAAAAUAAAAAGCAAAAGUACAAUAUAAGAAUUUGUUUCGUAUAAAUUUUGAUCCAAAAUAUUACUUAAAUAGAAUUAUAAAGAAUAUUUUUUUAUAUGAGGCAAAAUUCUAUUUUUAGAAGUACUAAAUAUUACCUAGAUUAAAUUAUCAAAACCAACAAAUAUAUGUUAUUAAAUCCUAAAACUCAUGCGUAGAACAAUAAAUUAAAUUUAUUCUAUUUAUAAAAAUUUUCUUUUGUAAAUCAUAUAAUUAAAUAUAAAUUUUUUCGCCUCGUUUUUUUUACGUGCACAAAGAUUUCUUCCUUUUUUAACUUUGACUUGUCCUACAAUUUUAUUCAUAAUAUUCUACUUAUUCUUCUUUAUAACCUUAAAUUAUGAAGUACUAGAAGUUUUUAGUUUAUCAGGAUUCUUUCUAUAUAUUUUAGGAGUUAUUAAAUUAUUUUCAUAUAUUUUAGGAGUCUUUAAUCUAAUUACAUAAUAAAUUGAGGAAAAUAGUAAAAUGACAUUUUUAUCUAUUGCAGAGGCUUCUAAUGAAGGGAAAAAAGUUCAAAUGUCAUUUUUAAGGCCUUCACACUUUUAAUAUAGUAUAGAUAUAAUAUUCGAAUUUUUUUAUACAUAAAAUAUUAAUUAUAAUCUACUUUUUAAAUACUUUUUCAACUAGUUUUAGUAAUUUUCAAUAAUUCGAAAGUAGAUGUAGAUAUAUAUUUAAGAUAUAUAUUUAAAUUUGGGCCUUUAAGUUGUAAUAUUUGUCCAUUAAUUGCUAAUUAAAUGAUCCAAAACCCAAUAUAAACUUAAAACCUAAACUUUUCACUCUUCAUCUCACUUUUUAGUUUCAAGAGAGUUUUCCGCUCCUCAUUUUUCAUAAUUAUGGUUUUUCAUUAGCACAUGAGUGGAAAUAUAUUUGAUCUAGUCUUCGAUCACAAUAUAAUAGUAAAAACUAAAUAUUAUUAAAACCCCCCGGAAAAAAAUCAAAAAAACCGACUAAAACCUAAACCGAAAAAAUUAAUUUUAUGUUGGUUUGAUUUGGUUUAUAGUUUUAAUAAAUCGACAUGAUUGUUUUUUUUUUUUAAAUAAAAAUUGAACCAACCCGACCUAUGUACACCCCUACAUUUCAUUGUACUGACGCAUUUGCUCUAUGAUGCUUUCUUUUUAUGUUACACCAUAGGUUCAGAGACACGAGUUCCAGAUCAGCAGUAGAUUCCAGUUUUAGCAGUCAGAGUAGAAGUGAGUCCUCAUCCUUUGAGGACAUAAUGAUUUUCUAUUAUCUCAUUGAUUAGCUUAUUAGUUGGAGUUAGUUAGGGACAUGUCCCAUCAAAUCCUUAUUCAGAUUCUUCAGACAGUAGAGGCUUUCAGACUAGAUGUAGACUAGAUACAGACUAUCAUGUUUUAGACUUCAGUUUUGUUUUGGGUAUUCUAUUACCCUACACAGAUGUUACGUUAUUCAGUUAUGUUCAUGAUCGAACCUUAUGGCCUUUCAGUGCAUAGUUCUGCAUUAUUAUGUUAUCUUAUGCAGUAUACAAGUACAAAUAUCAGUCAUGGGUUAGCUUGUAGUCCUUUGGGGUCAUGAGCACCGUGUAGCAUUCCGAUUCAGCAAAUUGGAUCAUUACAGAUACCACUUGUUAGGUUUGAAAUAGAGAGAGUGUCAUGUGGAAGCUUUAAAGUUACAUACCAAGGCAGUGAUAAUUCAGACAAUAAAGAAAAAUAUAUUAAAAUAUAAUAUUAUUGAUAUGGUUUGGCCAAUUGUCCUACAGAUUAAAAAUUAAAUCAAAAAGCAUAAAAAUUAUUUGAGAGAAAAUCUCCCCCUAAACAAAACUCCUAAACGCCUACACUGUGGAUUCUAUUGUGUUGUGGUAUGAGAUGGGGCUAUUCUAUUUAUAGAGGUAAAAAAACCUUUCCUCCGAAAAAGAGGUUUACCAAAUAUGGAAAAGAAUUAUAUUUUCCUUUUAGGAAAAGUAAGAAUAUGGUAUUACUUUUAUUUUCUUUUCAAUAUUUUGCUAGAAAAUCAAGCCAAAAAGGGGAGAUUUGUUAGGAUUUUUGCCUGAUUUUCUUACCAAAAUUAAGUUUUACUUUUUCUUGGAAGGAAAAUAAAAGUAACCAUAAUUACUUUUACUUUUCCUAAAAGAAAAAUAUAAAACUUUUUCAUAUUUGGAUAACCUCUUUCUUGGAGGAAAGAUUUUGAAACUCUAUAAAUAUAAGACCCCCCUUCUCAUACAAGAACAUAAUAGCAUCCACAAUGUAGUCGUUUAUGAGUCUUGUUUAGAAGGAAGAUUUUCUCUCAACAGUUUUUAUGUUUUUAUAUCAGUUUUCAAUAUGUAAGUCGUUCGACCAAAUUAUAUCAAUAAUAUGUCUUUUUAGUAUUAUUUUAUGUGUCGUCUAAAUUAUCAUCUCUAUGGUUUGCAAACUCUAACUUUUUGCAUGACGCCCUCUCAAUUUUGAACCCAACAGGUUGAUUGCUUUGAGGAGUUAGACAUGUAAAAGUGAAAAGAAAAUCAUAGUAACUGUCUAUCUACCGUUUUAAAGAAAUCAUACAAUGCCACAUUUAAGUCUUUAGCAAAAUAAAAGUAUACAACUAACUAUGAUUAAAAAAUCAUAAAGAUACUAGUUAUAAAUAUUUUCACAUAAUUGAUCAAACGUGAAUAAACAACGAAGCCCUUUUGAUUUUGAUCUCUCCUAAAUCAUUAUUAUCUAAACUUGAGUCAAUAGAGAUAGAUUUAGGACAUUUAAAGAGACACGUCAAAACAAAAUCAGAUUUGAAUCAGAAAGAAAAAUGACCAUGAACUCCAUCUCCAAUCUUUCAUUUUAACUUCCUGGAACCUAUAUGUUUUAGACUAAGUUUUGAUUCAAAAAAAAAGGUGAAUAAAUAAACAUGCUUGGUCAUUUAGGCAUCAAAAUAGCUGCAGUCAACCACAAUUAGAAAUUAGACUUAAUCAAUUUUAGACUUAAUCAAUUUCUUUAUCUUGUUCAAAUGGUUACGCGAAGCAACCUGAAUAAGAAAGCACAAAAACUGCAUUUUUUGGUUAACCUUUUACAUUGUAUAUUAUUUUGACAAUUAUUUGAAGCCAUAACCACAUACAUUCCAUAUUUACACAAAAAAACCACGUAUAAUAAUAAUAUGAGAUGAAAUGAGUAAAGACAAAGCAAGACAAGAACACGAUGUGAUUAACAUAUAAUCCUGAUACUAAGAUAACUCACAUAUACAAAAAUCAGGCCAAGUAAAAGAAGGGAGAUACAGGUGAAACAAGAAAAUAAAUUUUACAUGUUUUCACAUAUUUUGCUCAUGAAACUGCGACAUAUAUAACAAACAAGACAUUGAUGGUGUGGGACAAGAUGAUUUCAAGUACUCUUCUUAGAACCAAAGAAACGACAACCACAAAAGAGCACAAAGAGUGCUUACUAGAAAGUAGGAUAUAGCAAAGAAGACAUAUUUUUUAUGUUUCAUAGACUUGCAUUUUGAUAAUAAAUAAGCAGGGAAUUAGCCAUACAUAUUGAACCAAUAUAUACUUCAAGAGAAACCACAUCCACGAACUUGAUUCGGAGACAAUAAACAAAACCAUGAUAGCUGAUUUGAAGUCAAAAUAGAUCAUCUAUUUACUUGCUAAUUUGUAUGUUCACCCAUGAAAUAAAUUCACAAAAUCAGAAUUUUCAUUUUUUAUCCGCAAAGGCAACAAAAUACAACAACAACAAAUUUGAUAAUAGAACAAAUCACAUACUCAUAAAUCAAAGCGGAUAAAUGAAGAACCAAACAAAUGAAAGCCUAAAUUUAAAGGGUAGACUCACUUUUUUUGGAGUAGCGAAUCGGGGCUUUUUCGUUAAAAUUUUGAUGAUGGACUCGACCCCAAAACUCCGAAUUGCGACCAAGAAUUAAAAAGAGAAUUUUGAUUUUGAAGCCCCUUUUCUGGUUUUCACAUUUUUCUCCUUUUUACUAUUUUCUGGCCUCUCUUCUCCCCUUUGAGACCCUUUUCCCUCCGCCUUCACGGGGAUGGGAAUUUGGAUACUUAUAGAUAAAAUUCAAACUUCAAAAUCUAGAUUUGAGAUAAGAAAUCAGCAAAAAUAUGGGAGACUAAGGAAAUUUGAAAUUCAAAUUCAAAUUUCUGAAGAAAAUCCACCGAUUUUAGCCUUUUAGGCCACUUAUGGCAGAUUUGACAUCAAGGGUGAGUUGUACAUUAUUUUAGGUCUGAUAUUUCUGAUUUUAAAGGGUUUUAUGGGUUUGGAAUGAAAAGAUAGGGGCAGUACACAUAGGGUGACUACCAUGGUAUAGUUAUGGCCGUCUAUGGCAGCUAUUUUUGUGAUGUAGAACAGAAAAAAAAGAAGAGAGAAGAAGGUCUUGUUCGGGUUAUUAUUUUGAGAAAGAAAAGAAAAGAUGGGUCAGUGUAUG
This 79248-nucleotide long non-coding RNA is filed under the name Capsicum annuum. RNAcentral's name for it is "long non-coding RNA (CANN_LNC005370)". The record is from RNAcentral. Lineage: Eukaryota; Viridiplantae; Streptophyta; Magnoliopsida; Solanales; Solanaceae.